CCCAUGAACUCAUCAGAAAGAAACCCCAUCGACGGCAUUCCUCUGGCGGCGGCGGUGGUUCAGUGGUCUUUGUAGGCUUUAUCAUUUAUAUGGCUCCCCCUCAACGCCUUUCUCAUAUAUGGCUUGAAGCAACAACAAGGUGAACACAAAGAUCCCACAUCUAUUUUUUUAUUCUUCAAAGUAAAAAUUGAAGGUUUCAUUUUCUUCUUUUUUUUUGUUGCGUUUUGAUUUUUUUAAAGAAAUGUUGCAUUGUAUUCUUGUAACAUAGAUAAAGAAUUUAUAUAUACUUUGAUUAUUAUCAGGGGCGAUACUAGGCUCACUUUGCCUGAUGUCUUGUUACUAGGAUAAACAAAUAUUUUACCUAGCAUAUAUUUUAAAAAAAUUAUAUGUACUACUUGAGCUGCACCAGGAUCAAUUUUGUAUUGAUUUUGUCCCCUAUUACUAUUGCACAUAUACAUAGAAAAUUUUUUAUACGUGGAAUACCCAACUAUAAAAUCCUAGCUCCGCCACUGUCAGAGAGGAAGGUGUCAGAGAGGAAGGUGUGUAGAGAGGGGGGAAAUGGCCCUACUGUGCCGGAGAUUUGUCCCCUUUCUGUCACGCCCCGUGCAUGACCUUGUCGGAAGCAUGGAGGACAGCACUGCGUCCAUCAGACAAAACUGCAGCCCCAGAGCCUUGGGUGCUCGGGGCGCUAGGUUCUGUUGAAUAUAAUGGGCCUUUAGCCCAUAAUUAUAUUUAAUGAUUAAUUAAAGAAUCCAUAAUAAAUGCUAUAAUGAAAACGGUUUAGUACUGUAUUGAUGAUUGACCAUGUGUUAACUCAACUUAAAUAUGUGGCUUUUGUUAGCUUCUAUGGAGAACUUGAGGAAGGGAAAAAGGGUGCCACACGCGCGCGCCCCGCUGCCACCGUCGAGCCGUGCCGUGCCGAGGCGUGGCGUGCGUGCGUUCUUGUAUUGUUGCUAAUUGAUGGACUCGGUUUAUGGCAAUUAAAUGUGAUUAAUUGUCAUCAAUCAGACGUUUCCUCCUGGGGCCUAUAUAUUCCAUACGCGUGACACUCUUUCCUUACGUGCGAGACACAAUCAGUCCUCUCGCUUUGUAUCGAGUUGCUCUCUGUUUGUUCCCGUCCUGAACCUCUGCGCGCACAGAGAUCGGGAGAGCAGGCCUCCGGAACCCGACGUCCUACAUCGAAGCGUCUUCCGCGACUGCUCACCGAUGAGAUCGUCUUCUUCCACUCCGGCGGAUCGAGAUCGACUACUGCGUUCGUGGGACUGCACUGCGAACAUCUUCCUACAUCGACUGUGGUCCGCUACUUCACGCAACGCACUAUAUCGACUAGUGCGAAUGGAGCCGCCGGUGCCUUCGGCACUGGUCCCUCCUCGGGGUACAAUCCUAAUCGAUUGUCUUUUAUUUUCAGUAUGUCUGUUGUAGUUGCAGUAGUUCUUGCAAUGUUUAUCUCUAAACUGAGUAGUGAUAAAAUUGCACACGUGCACAUAUAUACCACCACAAUAUUAUGCGUAAUUUUCUAGAUUAAAUCAAACAUUAAAAUGUCUAAUUUUGUAACAAUCCAAAAUCUGAUAUUAGGCAUUUUUGUGUUAGUGGUUUUGCUGCUGCGUUAAAACCGGAUGCGUUUGAUGGUUCAAACUAUAAGCGGUGGCGCGCGAGAAUGAUAUUGUGGUUAACUGCUAUGAGUUGCUACAACGCCGCGAAGGGGAAGGCGGAACAGUUUACUCCUGAUGAGGAGCAAACGUUCAUGGCAGCGGAUAACCUCUUUAGAGGCGCCGUGAUUAGUGUGCUCGAUAAAAAGUAUGUUGACAACUAUAUCAUUUGCACCACUGCUAAGGAAUUAUGGGAUGAGUUUGAGGCCAAGUUCGGGGUUUCUGAUGCUGGUAGCGAGCUGUACCUCAUGGAGCAACUGUUUGAUUACAAAAUGGUGGAUAACCGUUCUGUGAUUGAACAAGCACAUGAGAUACAGGCACUAGCUAAGGAAUUAGAACAAUUCUCUUGUGUGUUGCCUGAAAAGUUUGUGGCCGGUGGUAUAAUCGCUAAGCUGCCACUUUCUUGGAAGGAUUUUGCUACUUCUCUAAAACAUCAGAGGAAAGAGUUUGGUCUUGCCGAACUCAUGGGAACUCUUGAUGUUGAGGAGAAGGCGUUGAGUCUUCUAGUGCCAAUGUGGUGCAAAAGAAAAGGCAAUUCGCAUUCCGUAAUAAAAAAAAGAACAAGCAAGAGAACAAGCAAGGGACAAAUAUGAAGCCAAAGCAAACUGCAACUUUUAAGAAGAAAAAGACAGAUGGAGGUUGCUUUGUUUGCGGUAGCGAUGACCACUGGGCAAGUGCUUGUCCACAUCGCAAAUUCAAACGAGAAGAGAAAAAGUCAGUGAAUAUGGUCAUUAGCGAGGCUGAAGGAGGAACAUCUUGGUAUGGUAAUUAUUUAUCUAUUGUUCUUUCAGUCUGACAUUCAUCUGAGUGGUGGAUGGAUACUGAGGCUAAUUUUCAUGUAUGUGCUGACAUCUCUUUGUUUUCUUCUUAUCAGGCCGGCGACACUGGAGCCUUACUGAUGGGGAAUGGCUCUCAUGUGCGUGUUCUUGGUGUUGGUACGGUCAUUCUGAAGUUCACUUCGGGAAAGACGGUGCUGACGAAGAACGUGCAGCAUGUCCCCUCCAUAAAAAAAAUCUAGUUAGCGGCUCACAGCUUUGCAGAGAUGGCUACAAUAUAGUCUUUGAGGCCAAUAAAAUUAUACUUUCAAAGUUUGGAACUUUUAUUGGUAAAGGUUAUGAUUGCGGAGGCUUGUUCCGCUUAUCUAUGCAUGAUGUGUGUAAUAAAAUCGUGAACCAUACUAUUAUUUCGAAUGAGUUUGGCAUUCGCGAUUUUGUCUUGUUAAUUAUGGUUGUUUAACGCGGCUAGCAAAUAUGAAUUUAAUCCCGAAAUUUAAUUUAGUCAAAGGUUCUAAGUGCCAUGUAUGUGUGCAAUCUAAGCAACCUCGCAAGCCUCACAAGGCUGCGGAGGCGAGGAACUUGGCACCAUUAGAAUUAAUCCAUUCCGAUCUAUGCGAGAUGAAUGGUGAGUUGACUAAAUGUGGUAAACGAUACUUCAUUACAUUUAUAGACGAUUGUACUAGAUUUUGUCAUGUGUACUUGCUUAAAACAAAGGAUGAAGCAUUACAAUAUUUUAAAGCCUAUAAAGCUGAAGUAGAAAAUCAACUUGAGAGGAAAAUUAAACGCUUAAGGUCCGAUCGCGGUGGAGAAUAUUUUUCAAGUGAUUUUUCUGAUUUCUGCGUAGAACAUGGAAUUAUUCAUGAGAGGACACCGCCAUACUCACCACAGUCCAAUGGAAUUGCUGAAAGAAAGAAUCGUACUCUAACUGAGAUGGUUAACGCCAUGUUAGAGACUUCGGGACUAUCUAAAGAAUGGUGGGGUGAGGCGAUAUUGACAGCAUGUUAUGUCCUGAAUAGAGUUCCUACAAAGAAUAAAGAAAUCACACCAUUUGAGGAAUGGGAAAAUAAAAUAAUAAAUGUCUCCUAUUUGCGUACUUGGGGUUGUUUGGCUAAAGUGAAUGUGCCAAUAAACAAGAAACGCAAACUCGGACCUAAGACAGUUGAUUGUAUUUUUCUUGGUUAUGCUACUCACAGCGUAGGGUAUAGAUUUUUAAUUAUAAAUUCUGGAGUACCAGAUAUGCAUGUUGGUACUAUAAUAGAAUCAAGAGAUGCAACAUUCUUUGAAACUGAGUUUCCUAUGAAAAGUACACCUAAUAUUUCUAGUCAUGAGUCUAUAAAUUACCAUGAGCAAUUUAUUCCGAUAGAACAAUCUGAGGAACCUCAUGUUCACUAUCCUGAGGAGGAUGAUAAUGUAGUCACUCGAACGAGCAAAAGACAAAAAAAAAGUGAAGUCUUUUGGAGAUGACUAUAUUGUGUACCUCGUGGAUGAUACCCCAACAACCAUUAAAGAGGCACUUUCCUCUCCUGAUGCUAACUUGUGGAAGGAAGCAAUAAGGACUAAGAUGGAUUCAAUAAUGUCUAAUGGAACUUGGGAAGUGGUUGAACGGCCUUAUGGGUGUAAACCUAUAGGGUGUAAAUGGGUGUUCAAGAAAAAGCUUAGGCCUGAUGGUACAAUUGAGAGGUACAAGGCUAGGCUUGUGGCUAAGGGUUAUACCCAAAGAGAAGUGGAAUAUUUCUUUGAUACUUAUUCACCUGUUGCCCGUUUGACCACAAUUCGAGUGUUACUAUCUUUGGCUGCCUCUCAUGGUCUUCUCAUUCAUCAGAUGGAUGUGAAGACAGCUUUCCUAAUUGGAGAGUUGGAGGAAGAGAUCUAUAUGGAUCAGCCUGAUGGAUUUGUAACAAGUGGUCAACAGGGCAAGGUGUGUAAGUUAUUAAAAUCCCUAUAUGGCCUAAAACAAGCUCCAAAAUAAUGGCAUGAGAAGUUUGACAGAACUUUAACUUCUGUCGGCUUUGCUGUUAAUGAAGCUGACAAAUGUAUGUACUAUAGGUUUGGUGGGGGUGAAGGUGUGAUCCUUUGUCUGUACGUGGAUGACAUACUGAUCCUUGGGACAAGCCUUGAUGUGAUCAAGGAAGUUAAAGACUUUUUGUCUAAUAACUUUGAGAUGAAAGAUUUGGGAGAAGCUGAUGUUAUUCUAAACAUUAAGCUUUCAAGAGAAGGUAAUGGUGGGAUUACACUUGUGCAAUCCCACUAUGUGGAAAAGAUUUUAAGUCGCUUUGGGUAUAGUGACUGUCAAUCUGCUCCUACGCCUUAUGAUCCUAGUGUGCUAUUGAGGAAAAAUCAAAGAAUAGCAAGGGAUCAACUAAGAUUCUCCCAAAUUAUAGGCUCAUUGAUGUACCUUGCAAGUGCCACGAGGCCUGAUAUCUCGUUUGCAGUGAGCAAACUUAGCCGGUUUGUGUCAAAUCCGGGAGAUAUUCAUUGGCAAGCUCUUGAGAGAGUGAUGCGCUAUCUGAAAUGUACUGUGAGCUAUGGCAUUCACUAUACCGGAUACCCAAAGGUAUUAGAGGGUUAUUGUGAUGCAAAUUGGAUAUCUGAUGUUGAUGUUAAAGGCCACAAGUGGAUAUGUGUUUUUGCUUGGAGGUGGCGCUGUUUCAUGGAAGUCUUGCGAGCAGACUAUCUUAACGAAGUCAACCAUGGAAGCAGAACUCACAGCAUUAGACACCGCCGGCACUGAGGCCGAGUGGCUUCACGAACUCCUGAUGGAUCUACCGGUGGUUGAAAAAACUGUGACGGCUAUUUCCAUGAACUGUGACAAUCAAACGGUGAUCACAAAAGUCAACAGUUCUAAGGAAAACAUGAAGUCUACUAGGCAUGCCAAACGGCGUUUGAAGACUGUCAGAAAAUUGAGAAACUCCGGAGUUAUAGCAUUGGACUAUGUCCAUACAUUUAAGAAUCUGACAGAUCAAUUCACAAAGGGACUAUCCCGUAAUGUGAUAGAUAGUGCAUCGAGUGAGAUGGGUUUGAGACCCACGUGAGGUCUACCAUGGUGGCAACCUAUUCUAUAGGAUCGGAGAUCCCGUGAAGUAGAAUGGUGAAACAAGCCAGAAGUAGAUUGUGAGGAAAGACCCUUUACUUAACUCAUCUCAAUUGCACUUCUUUCCUAAGUCUGUAAGGAAGGCUGGUUAUAUACCUUAAUGUAUUCCAAAGCGGCUUGUGAAGCGAUAGAUGUUGUCCUACAGAACAUCUUUAAGGAAUACACCUAUAUGAGUUUGACUGUUAGUCACAGUCUAUGAGAUUUGGGUGAUCUCUAGAUACUCAUGAAUGGGCUAGAAGUAUGACUUAUAUGCUUCAACCAGAGGGGAUGUUCAUGCAACCCUGUAUCAGUUAUGAAUUUAGAUGAAGCUUAUAUCACAGAAAACUUGCAAUUCAAGGCAUAGUCCAUUGUUCAAGUUGUGACUAAGUGUAGUCUGUACUCUAAGUGGAAGUUCAACUUAACAGUCUCCACUGAAACGACUGGUAUAUGAAACGAUAUGGAAAUUCGAGAGCUUUUCUUAUGUGCCCUAGAAAUAGGUGGGGAUUGUUGAAUAUAAUGGGCCUUUAGCCCAUAAUUAUAUUUGAUGAUUAAUUCAAGUGCCCAUAAUAAAUGCUAUAAUGAAAACGGUUUAGUACCGUAUUGAUGAUUGACCAUAUGUUAACUCAACUUAAAUAGGUGGCCUUUGUUAGCUCCUAUGGAGAAGUUGAGGAAGGGAAAAAGGGUGCCACACGCGCGCGCCGCCGCCGCCGAGCCGUGGCGUGGCGUGGCGUGCGUGCGUGCUUGUCUUGUCUUAUCGAGAUGACACACGAGGACCAGACGUGACAUGGCACACGCGUGGUGAAUAAGGAAAGGGAGGAAAACAAGAUCUUACCGUUGUAUAAUUAAUGGCAAUUAAUUGCUAAUUGAUUGACUCGGUUUAUGGCAAUUAAAUGUGAUUAAUUGUCAUCAAUCAGACGUUUCCACCUGGGGCCUAUAUAUUCCAUACGUGUGACACUCUUUCCUUACCUGCAGGACACAAUCAGUCCUCUCUCUUCCGGUCGAGUUGCUCUCUGUUCGUCCCCGUCCCGAACCUCUGCGCGCACAGAGAUCGGGAGAGCAGGCCUCCGAAACACGACUUCCUACAUCGACACACCUGCUCGGGUGUGCAGGCAAUCAGAUUUUUGGGGAGCGUCUUCCGCGACUGCUCACCGACGAGAUCAUCUUCUUCCACUCCGGUGGAUCGAGAUCGACUACUGCGUCUUCGUCUUUUUCCUGGUGAACGUUCGCGGGACUGCACUGCGAACAUCUUCCUGCAUCGACUGUGGUCCGCUACUUCACGCAACGCACUAUGUCGACUAGUGCGAAUGGAGCCGCCGGUGCCUUCGGCACUGGUUCCUCCUCGGGGUACAAUCCUAAUCGAUUGACUUUUAUUUUCAGUAUGUCUGUUGUAGUUGCAGUAGUUCUUGCAAUGUUUAUCUCUAAACUGAGUAGUGAUAAAAUUGCACACGUGCACAUAUAUACCACCACAAUAUUAUGCGUAAUUUUUUAGAUUAAAUCAAACAUUGAAAUGUCUAAUUUUCUAACAGGUUCUAGCCUAGAUGGCCUGUGCUGGAGACCGGGGGCCAGGGGAUCGGGCCGAGCAUCCCAUUGAUCAGGAGCCCCGAGCAGAGGCGGUGAGCAUACUAGGGCUCUGCCCUAUCGUUGGCCAGAAGGUAUACUUGAGGGGUGUAGCCCCUGAGUCCGCGAGCGAUUCUAGCUAGAGGGGAUCAGGGAUGUAACAUGACCCUAUGUUAGGAUCUAGUGAAACUUCAAGGUCAACACAGCCGAUUAACCAAUGCCAGAUCAAAAUCUGGAAGUAAAAGCUGGUUCCAAACCGGCAGUGAUCCCUAGUUAUGGCCUUAUGGGUAGCCAGAAGCCAAAUGCUUGAUCGAUCCCAAAAAAAAAGUCACUAUCAGGUGCAGCCGGACGUCAAUGAAGGGCCAGUGUUCAGGGAUGAAAACGGUACGGAUAUUUUCCGACCGUAUUCGAGACCGAAUUCGUUUAGAGGAGUUCAGAUCUAUCCGUAUUCGAGUCGGAAUAUUCAACAUCCAAUACUGUAUCCGUAUCCGAAUACUUAAAUCGUAUAUUUAUAAUGUCGACAUCUAAUCCUAUCUUAUGACAUGGUUGACAUUAUCCGUAUUCGAAUCCGAAUCCGACCAAAAAUAUGAAAACAAAUAUGAUAUUGGUGAUAUCUGUCCGUAUCUGGUCCGUUUUCAUCCCUACCAGUAUCAUAUCAAAAAGUCUGGGAUCUGGUGAAAAGAAAAAAUAUAUUUUCCUAAUGCUGUGGCAAUAGCAGGCUGCAGCAUUAUGGGAUGACCGUGUGGUGGAGCACAAAGAACAGAUGAUGGUUUGGUCUUGUACCGAUAGAUACUUCACCUCUAGAUUAACUCAAAGGUAAAACGUGCUGUAGCUACCCUGUUAGGCUUUUACCAAGUUCGUCCCUGCCUUGGUACGGAAGCAUUCCAGUUGAUCAAGUAAACAUUGGAAACAUGAGUUGACUCUUUCUGCUGUAUAGUGGUCGCGAAUGACGAGAUGGAGAUUAUAUAUUAAAUAGUUAUAUGAUCAAGGUGAAGAUACUAUAUAUACAUGUGUUAUAGACAGGCUUCCCCACUGUUGACUCUUUCUACCUUUUAUUAGCGAGGAGUUGACUCUUUCUAUACAUAUGUUAGCACAACCAUCGACGGACCUUUUGAAGCAUUUCUCUUGUAUACGCAACUAUCACAGUCAGAACCAAUGGUGAUGAAAUGCAAGAAAAUAAGCAUGUUAGACCAUAAGCUAGUAAAAUAUCAACCAACAAAAGAUUGACAGGGAAAAAAGUAGUUUUAUUUUAUAUAAGUUCUGGUUUAAAUCAUGCCCGCUAAGCAAUCCAUAUACUUCACGUAUUAGUGUAAAGCUACUAAGAAGCAAUCAGUGCUUGACCUAGUAAAGCGUGUACCACAGUUCUCACAAGCAAAAAAAAAGGUGACCACCAAACAAACAAUGGAAACAUUAAUCGUCUUGAAUGACGAAAUAUAUGGAGAUUGUUGGAUAGUUAUAAUGAUAUGAAGUGGAAAAAGUAAUAAAGAUUUUAUAUGACGGUCAUAUACUUUCGCAUUGUAGACUAUUUCUAUAUUUCUUUGUGAGUUGACUGUUUCCAUACUUACGUUAGCACAAGCAAAGAUUGUCUGAUGAACCAUUUUUCUUGUUUACGCAGCUAUCACUGUCCACCAUCAGCAACGCACUCAUACCAAUGUCUUAUCAUGCAUCUGAUGCUCAAAUGGAUGUCCAAAUUAUCGGUUUUAUCCAAAUUCGAAUCCACUAACCGAUCUCCUCCAUUUUGCGGUUUACUUCCAAAGGUUUUAAAAUUUCAAUCAAUUUAUGUGACCACUAGAAAUCUUGAUUUUGUGGUUUUCUUCCAAUUUGUAAAAUUGAUAUUUAAAACGAUGAUAGUAUGCUUGAACCCAGACACCUAGAAACACAAAAAGAAAACAAAGAGUACACUUUGGUAAUAUAUAUAUGCUGUGCUGCAACUGCAAGCAAAGAGACCAUGCACGCUGAUUUUGUUAGUCGUAUGGUGCGUGUGAAAAUAUUAUUAAAAGCAGGGUAGGUUUGGAAAGUCGAUAUCACUGCCAAGACUGUUUCUUCGAUCAGUUCUCCUGAUAGGUUCAACUUAUAACUUUUUCAACCAUUAACACGUACACGUUGCCACAUGAGCAUGCGGCAGGCUAUAUAACCUCUCCAUCCCCAUGGCGAAGGCAUCAACAAGACAGACACAAACACCACAAGCUAAGAAGCUCCAUAGCUGAAUUCAGAGACUGCAAACACGUACAAAAAGCGUGUGCAAAACCAAAUGGCUGCCUCCAGCUACUUCAUUCUCGUUUCUUUUGUAGCAUUUGUCAUUUCACAGGCCACUGCCUCUGACCCUAGCCCCCUCCAAGACUUUUGUGUUGCCGACAAACAUUCUCCAGGUAUGCAUACUCUCGCUUUAACUCAAGCUGUUUUCUUAUACUAAAUCUCUAAUCAAAUAAGAAUCAUUUGUUCAAACAAACAUCUACAUACAACAAGCAUUUCUAGGUAUGGCCUAAUGACAUGUUCUUCAUCUAACUAUUUGCCUUUGUCUAUGCAUACAGUGAAGGUGAAUGGAUUUGUUUGCAAGGACCCAAUGGCUGUGAACGCAGAUGACUUCUUCAAGGCAGCAAAACUUGACCAGCCUAGAGACACCAUGAAGAGCAAGGUCGGAUCUAACGUUACUUUGAUCAAUGUCAUGCAGUUGCCUGGACUCAACACCCUUGGCAUCUCGAUGGCUCGCAUUGACUAUGCACCAUUAGGUCAGAAUCCUCCACACACACAUCCUCGUGCCACAGAGAUUCUCACCGUGCUUGAGGGUACACUCUAUGUUGGAUUUGUCACCUCCAACACAGACAACGGUAACAAGCUAUUCACCAAGGUUCUCAACAAGGGUGACGUGUUUGUGUUCCCCCAAGGGCUCAUACACUUCCAAUUCAACCCAGUCCAUGACAAGCCAGCUGUCGCGAUCGCUGCACUAAGCAGCCAGAACCCUGGGGCUAUUACUAUUGCCAACGCGGUCUUUGGAUCAAAACCGCCCAUCUCAGAUGAUGUCUUGGCCAAGGCUUUCCAGGUGCAAAAGGGAACAAUUGAUUGGCUCCAAGCUCAGUUUUGGGAGAACAACCACAACUAAGUAAAUUGGGAGUCACUUCAUUGUAUGAAGAUAGGUUUAUAUAUGUAUUUUGCAUUACUCCCGUGUGUAUUCAAUUAUGACAUGCUAAGACAAUAUGGUAGAAUAAUUAAAUGGGAAGUGUAUGUAACCAAUCACUAUUUUUGUGUUUCUCCUACAAGCUAUAUCACCAUGUUCUAGUUGAAUAUUUGAACUGAAGUACGUGAGGAUCCUACAUAAUUUAUUGGAUAUUGUUUGUAUAUGAUAUGCCGUUACAUAUAUCAACAAUAUUUCUUGACAUUAAUUUGGAGAUGAAUAUUGCAUGGAGCCUUUCCAAAUUACUAGGCUAAACUGAACUAUCAACCGGUAGAUCGGCUAAGACUAAAUUAAUCGACCCAGUAGGCCUUGGACUCCAGUCUCCUUGGAGCCAACGACCAGUGUGUUCCACUAGCUAGAUUCAUAUAGUAACGGAGAUCAAGUACCAUACGUGGCCACAUCCAAUUCCAACAAUGUAAUGACUAGUAAAAUUCACUUUACAAAUUCAACACAAAAGUUCACACACAUGAGAAGCAAAUUGGGAGCUAGCGAUUAGGAGCUUGAGAUAAGUUUGUAAUCACGAGGCAACAUUCAGGAAAUUUCACUUCAGAUAUGGGAGCUAGCAAGAUUGCACUAAUGCAUUGCAGUAACUAGAUGGUAGCUACGACCAACAUUCAGGAAAUUUCACUGUCCGACAAAUCGAGAUGGAUGAACAUGCAGUAACCGGGUAGCUAACAAAUUACCUCCUGAAAGAAGUCUUACAUUUAGAAACUGGUACCUUGUUGUCUAUUGAACAAAUUAAUAAUUCAGAAUAUUUGUUGUGUCCGAACUGAGAGUAAAAGGAGCUAGUGCUUCGAUGGGAAGACUGAAAGUGUCAUGGAAAGGAUGAACUGCGCCUUCCUUUCAGAAGAAAGAAAGAACAGAACAGAACAUAAAUAUUCAUCGAAAAUAUGGUGUCCUUUAAUUAGUAUUCCCUCCGUCCCAAAUUACAAGUCGCUUGACUUUUUAUUGCAACCAUUUUGGUAUGUAUCCAGAUAUAAUAAUAUGUCCAAAAAAAGUCAAAGCGACGUCGCCUUUAGUAUGCUUUUAGCAACAGAGAAAGACAAAUGAAAGUUCAUAUCCUUGUUCAGAAGAUAAUUUAUCACUGAUGUUGAUGCAAACUUGCUGACAUCCUCAAAAGCAACAAACAAUCCCAUGAAAAUUAAAAUUGUUUUGCAGUUCCAACAAUGGGGCUGCUGCAGUGCUAGCUGCUGACUGGCGGGCUACCUAUUGGCCCUCUAGUGCUGAAUGGCAAGUUGCCUGCUGGUCCCUUUUGAUUCUGUUCCAUCAUCAACAAGGUAGACCGGAAGCUAACCAUGAUUUCGCCCGGCUUUCCUCUGCACAGCCGCAUGGAGAGUUGGAGAUUGGCUGCUGCAACCUCUCUCUUGCAUAAGCGAUGCCCUCAAUGACAUGUGACAUUCUUGGGCGAGAAGUUGAUCAAUAGACUAUAUAUGAGUCCUUGCGAACCCUAGGCAACGCCAGCGCCUUUAUCAAGGCCCGCCAACAGAGUAGAUCCCUCUUUGCUAUCUCAAUGAUGCUGCUCAGAUAUUUGCUAGCUUCCUUGUCAAGCAAUUCUGUAAUACCUGAUUUUAAGGACAAAAUCAUAUAUACACUAUAUAUGAGUCUUAAAGGUCAAAUCUCACAUAUAGCUAUAAAUAAGAGUAAUAUCAAUAGACAAUGCAUAAAUCAUAUAACGUACUUAGUAAAUCAGUGAUAACCUUAGGCAGCAAAAACAACGGAAGAUAAAUCCAGACUUCGGGUAUCAACUCAUGAUCACAAGCCUAAAGCUUCUCCUGAGGUGUGGGGGAAAUAGCAAGAGUGAGUCCCUGUCGAACUCCACAAAUAUAGCAAUAAGGUAGUAGCAGAUCCCACAAACUCAUGAUCAAUGUGAUAUAAAUAAUGUAGAGCAUAAAACAAUAAACAUUGAGCAUAAUAACAUAAUAAGAAUCAUCAUCUUUAAUGUAAGAGUCCCCAAGGCCGCUCAUGACCGUGAGCAUAGCUAGUAUACUAGUUUAUUAAACACUCUGCAGAGGUUGUACAUCUUUAUCCAUGAGUAAUGAUUUACCCUUUCACCCGAGGUCGCGAGUCUCUUAACCCCCUUCCUAGGGUGGUCGGCAGGAUUCACUAUGAAACCUUUUAAAAGUUCAUCUGACAAGUUAGGGCCGCAUGUUCCCAAUCAGUGCGCACAUAUAGAACCACCUUCCAAAUGGCACAAUGAUGUGCAGCCUAUACACAUAAGGACAGAGGCCGCACUAUACCCAAAAUGCAAGCCCCUCGAGUGCCCUUACGAGUAACCUCUAAGACUAUCUCCAACAAAGAGAACCUAAAAUGGAGACCUAUUCUUUGAUUUAGGUCACGCACAGUAUAUAGAUAGCAAACCCAAAACAUUCCUUCUCCAACAGCUAUCGCAAAAGCAGAGACCCAAAACUACCGUGCCGCCGCUCCGACUGCUUGCCACGGGCAUGCCGUCCUGCUCCCGCCACUCCCUGCCAUGGAUCCGCCUUGCCAUGCUGGCCGCGCCCCGCUCCUGCCAUGGACCCACCCAACACUAGGCUGGAGUUCUUGUUUCCCUUGGACAGAGAAGCUCCGCCGCUGCUGCCUCGGUCGAGCGCAUGGGAGCCCUGCCGACCCUGCCCCUGCAGCUGCUCGCAGGCUUACUCCGGCGGCCGGUGCGCUGCGCCGGGAGCCCCACCAACGAUGGUGGCAGCGGAGCCAAAGGAGCUGUCCACGACCAAGCGGAGCCACCGCAUCGCCCCGCACUGUCGGCUCUUCGUCCACGGCCUCUCGCCGCACGCCGACGGCGCCAUGCUCGCGGAGGCCUUCUCCUGCUUCGAGCCCGUUGCGGACCGUCGUCUAUUUCGCGUCUGGCGGAGAUGGAGGUGUGGUGCGCAUCCCAGCGGAAGGGGAUGAGGAUUGGGAGAGAGAAGACAGCCACCGGACUCCAUUUGGGUCGAGGAGAGAGAAGACAGGGAGAGAACGCAUAUUUGGGUUGCCUCUUCCCUUCUACCCAAAAUAGGUGUUCCCUUUGGCUAUUCUGUUGGAAGCGUUUUUUUUUCACGGUACAGGACCCAAAAUAGGUUUGGGUAAUGGUUUGCCUAGCUUGUUGGAGUCAGUCUAACAAGUUAGAAAAGGUCUUCCUACUAAGCUAAAGCCAGAGCCAUAAUAGACAAAUCCUCAAGUUGCUAAAAAGUCAUUUUUAUCGUUUGUUGCUUAAACAUUAAUUAAGUCACAAGGUCAUGGUCACAGAAUGAAAACCCAAAUGCUAUACUUGCCUUGAUCAUAUUUCUCUGGUCCUGCUUGUAGUAGCACUCUUGAUCAUCCAUGAACUGCUCACCGUCGAUACUCCAUCAGCAAUCAUCGACACACAAACAAUCAAGACCAAACAUAUACAAAGCAAACAAGGCUAUGAUUAGAAUAGUACACCAACAGUAGAAAAACAAUAAGAAAAGUUGAUAAAAGGAUUCUACACAUCGCUACAAUCACACCGACGUAAGGAUCAUGAAAAUCAGAGUUAAAAUAGAGAAGAUAUGAAUUUUCUAAGAUUUCCUUUAUAAAAGUAAUUAAUUAAAUAAGGUCACAAAAUUAAAAAGUUGCAAAUUGGUGAAAUAAAUUUACUAACAUGUAGUUCUCUUGAAUAUGAAUCUAACAUAAUUUGAAUGGGUCAAAUCGGUGUUAAAACGUAUAUUUAUGAGCUAAAUAAAAUCAGUGGAAAACUUGUAAUAUCCUGAAAACGUAUUUUGAUUUAAACUGACGGGAAUUACGUUUUCAAAAAUAGAAUACGUAUUUUGAGAAUAUGCUUCGACUGCAGGUUCUAUUUGACAAAAAUGCAGGGGCUCUUUAACAAAAGAUCCAGACGAAGGGUUACGGCCUAAUCUGGAGCGUUGGAUCUAAAACCUAGGGCUGAGAUUAGAUUAGAGAGAGUGGGGGUGGCGGCUGCCGGCCGGAACAAUGCCACUGCAGUGGUGCUGUGGCCAGAAUCGGUCCGUCCUCGUCGGAGUUUUGCAAUCCAUCGACUUCGGACACCAUAACUCACAGGGAGCAAGAGGAGCUUGUUGUGAACUCACCAGAGGCAAAAGUGGGGGCAAGGAUGACCCGAGGAUGUUCGGCAUCGGGAUUUGGGGAUGACUACUCCCUGCACGAGUUCAACAUCCAUUGGAGACUAAACCAGGACGAGAGAGAGAUGGAGAAGAGGCUCGGCAUCUCCGUAGGAGCGAGGCGAAGCUCAGCAAAGGGUUCUCGAUGACCUUGGGACAACGCAGGGCUUUGACAGUGGUGGCGACGGCCUUCUUGCUUCUCCGAUGAGAUCCAAAUGUGCGUCAGGAGAGCGGCUAAGUCGACCCAUGUGUCUCGUAGAUCGAAAAGGGAGUCGCGGAUGAUUGCCAAAAGCUAUAUAAAGGUCGGUUGGGCAUGUUGGCAAACGAUCCCGUGGAAAACGGGACUUGGCUUCCGCCUUGGUGGAGUCCUGCUAGGGCUCAAGGUGGAAGAAGAGAGGGGCACUGAUGCGUAGGCCCGAUUGGUCAGUGGGAGGGGAGAGAGAGACGCACUAGGCCGGCUGCUGAUGAAGCUGGGCCAAGCUGCUGCUCGGUGCGGGCUCUCCUACUGGGUUGUGGUCUUGCUGGGCAGGCUAUGCGUGGGAGAAUGGGACCCGACCCAAGAGCAAAGAGGGGGGGGUUGGGCCACUCGGGCCAAAACAGGGAGGGAGAAGGUUUCUCCUUUUAUUUUCUCUUCCAAAUUUUCUAAGCCAUUUGAAAACCAUUUGAAAUUCAAUUUGAAUUCAUUUUGAAUUUUAGUUUAAAAACACUCAUCACAAUAAAUAAAAUGUUGUGGCAUGCAUGCUCAAACAUGUUGCUAAUCUCCUAUGGUAAGUUUUAAUUUAAUAAAAAAUAUUAUUAUUAUUUUGUUUUAUGAGCACAAAAAUACAAAAUUAAAUCAAUUUUCCUCUAUUUUCAAAGGAGCAAAAUUUAGGGUGUUACAAAUUCCGCGAAGCGUGCAUUUUGAAGUUGUUCCCCGUCCAUCACCUCGAGAAGUGCAACUCUAGUUGAAUGCUUGAGGGUUGGUGGAGAGCUCUUGGUCGUUGUAACACCCACAUUAAUAGUCAAGCUUGAGAAGGCUUGCUUAGCACAUGAAGCAAUCACUAAAAGACACGCCUUAAUAAGGACGUAGGUUGCGGACAAGAAACUAAACAUCAAUGAUGUUUUAAUAAGAUCAACUCUAAGACCCUCUUUUUAAAACCUCAUCAUGUGUUCUCGAACAUUUUCCUAUUAACGUAGUUCCACCUAACUCUCUUAAUCCCUACUUUGAAUACAAAAUAUUUUGUUGUUUCAGAAAACUACCAUAAUUUCAUAAAAUGCUUUGAUUUUCAAAACUAGAGAUGUUAGAUGUAAAAAAUUUUGUAUUUUGUAUUUUUUUUUAAAAUAAAAUAUUGCUAAAACUAUAGUCUUUUCUAACCUCUCUUACUUUAUAAAACUAAGGUUUCUUGUUUCACCAGUACUACAAUUGUUCAAAAUCACAUCGGAAUAUAAAGCCCUACGACAACCUUGAGAUCUACGUGCAGAUUGGUGGCGUACUACUCUCUCCACCUAAGAAAACAAUUCUAGGUUAAACUAAAUUAAACUCUUUUAAGUUUUUGUAUCUCUAAAUCAAUUUAUUAUUAAAAUAUAUUACAUAACUAAUCUAAUAAUACUUAAUAUGAUAUUUAGAGCUCCAAAUAUAUUUUUACAAAAAUAUAUUUCAUAACUUCUAGUAUCAUUUUUGCUCCCUCCUUGAGGCAUUUUAAAGGUCAUAAUUCUUUCCCUCCCUCCUUCAUUGUUUCCAACUAAGAACUUGAAUGGACCGCGGAAACCAACAAAUGAUGCUCCAUCUCUUUUCUUCUACAACUAAAAAUUACGAGACAGAUAUCAUCUGCCCUGCUGCCUUCGCUUCACCCCCAAGUAAGCUUUGCCCAGCCAUGUCUCAUCCAUUCCCCUAGGCUGGUCUGCUCGGCUUUGGAAAAAAAUGAAGGCAUAUUGUCUCUUAGAAGAAACAUAAACCUUUAAAUCCAUGUGAACCUAGCUUUGUCUGAUGCCCCACCCUACCCCUUGACACCGAUGCCACCAAGCCUCCUCCAUGACCGCCCCCGGUGCCUCCUAGCCCUCCCGUUGAUGUUGACGGCCUGCCUCUUCCCCUUCAUGUCAUUGACCUCCACCAUCAUGGUCAAUGACUCUAGCGUUAUCAUCCUGCCCCGCCACUGCCCCCCUGGGACCACCACCCCAUCUCAUUGCCCGCACAUGCAGCUGUGCUAGCUAUCCAGUAGAUGCAGAUGCAGCUCGCCAAGCACGUACUUGUCCUCCUGUCGCUGCAGCUUACCCCACGUGUGCUCAGUCUGCUCACGGCAGGUCGCUUCCUUUGUUAAUAGGAUCAGGGAGGGAGCACUACUACAGAAUUAACUUUAUGUGCCGGUCCCAUCACUGUUGGUUUCUUAAAAAUCGGCAGUGAUAGUGGCUGAUGGCUCAAGUGAUGGGUCCAACCGGCAGCAGUGAUAUAUGUUUUCUUGACUUAGGAUCACGCAAGAACCAACCACAAAAAAUUUAAGCACAAAAAAGAAGUGAAAAACAUGGCAUGUGUGGGCGAGGGACUAAUUACCUGUAGAUAUAAGCCCGUAAGAGAGAACGGGUCACGAUUUUCAUAGGCUUGGCUACUCCUCUGCCUAUUAACUAAGAUAUGCCUCCCAGCGAAAUGCCAACGUCAACACUGCCGGUCCUGCCAAAUGCAUGAUCGAUUCAAAGAAAAAAGUCGCUACCUGAUGCAGCAGGACGUUAACGAAUUGCGGAUAUCAUCUGAAAAAGUCAGGGAGCAGGCAACCAAAUGACUUACCUCACUGUACUGAUAGACAGAAGAUUCACAUGAUUUAACUCAAAAGUAAAAAGUGCACGGUGGCUACCCUUUACCAGUUCGUUCCCACCUUGGUACGGAAGCAUUCCACGGAUUAAUUCAUGUAUGCUAGUUCCAUAUAAAAUGGUGACCAAGUAAACAUUGGAAACAUGAGGAUCGGAGUUGACUCUUUCUAUCCUUAUGUAAGCACAAACGCACGGAUUGACCAUUUGAUCCAUUAUUGUUGUUUACACAACUAUCAUAGUCCACCGUCAGCUAACGUGAUUACUGGUGGCCAGGAAUGUCAUAAUCACCAUUACAAAAUAAAUUAUCUCUCCAUAUCAACAAUUAACAAACCACGUUGUCCAAAAGGACUCAUGGGCCUGUGUUAAAAUUUAGAUAAAUAUAUAUCCUAAUUACUAGGCAUAACCCCAUUUUAUGGUUUACUUCCUAAUAUUCUAGAAGUAAUUUUAAAGGAUAAUUGCAAUGGAUUUUUUAGUGUCAUGCGUGUGAAAAUAUUAAAAGCAAGGUUGUUGGUUUGCAAAAGUUGAUAUGUCAAUAAGAUAAUUGCGUUGUUUACUCUGCAAGUUCCAGCAGCCGGAGACUGUUUCUUCUUUGUAGGUUGAACUUGGACUUCUUCAGUCAUUAGCACGUUCCCGUCGCCACACUUGCCGCUGUGGCAGCCUAUAUAAACACACCAUCCCCAUACCCCAAGCAUCAACAGAGACACACAAAUUGAACAAGAAGCUCUAUAGCUGAGUUCGAAGAGCACAAACAUAAAAGCAAGUGGAAUACUAAUCCAGAUGGCUCCCACCACCUACUUUCUCCUUGUUUCUUUUCUGGCAUUGGUCACUUCUCAGGCCAUUGCUUCUGACCCUAGCCCGCUCCAGGACUUUUGUGUAGCCGACAUACACUCUCCAGGUAUGCAUGCACUCACUUUAAGUCAUGCUAUAUAUUCUUGUAGUAAAUUGAGGAUCGAAUAAUAAUCAUUUGUCACAACAAACAUUCUAAUUAAUGUUUAUGUGUGUCCUAAUGUUUCUGAUCUCUAUAUACCUAUUUUCCUUCGUCUUUGUAUAUGCAGUGAAGGUGAAUGGAUUUGUUUGCAAGGACCCUAUGGCCGUGAACGUGGAUGACUUUUUCAAGGCAGCAAACCUUGACAAGCCUAGGGAUACUAUGAAAAGCAAGGUCGGAUCCAAUGUCACUUUGAUCAAUGUCAUGCAGUUGCCUGGACUCAACACCCUGGGCAUCUCACUGGCUCGCAUUGACUACGCACCAUUAGGUCAGAAUCCGCCACACACCCACCCACGUGCCACAGAGAUUCUCACCGUGCUUGAGGGUACACUCUAUGUUGGAUUUGUCACCUCCAACACAGACAACGGUAACAAGCUAUUCACAAAGGUUCUCAACAAGGGUGACGUGUUUGUGUUCCCCCAAGGGCUCAUACACUUCCAAUUCAACCCAGUCCAUGACAAGCCAGCUGUCGCGAUCGCUGCACUAAGCAGCCAGAACCCUGGGGCUAUUACUAUUGCCAACGCGGUCUUUGGAUCAAAACCACCCAUCUCAGAUGAUGUCUUGGCCAAAGCUUUCCAGGUGCAAAAGGGAACAAUUGAUUGGCUCCAAGCUCAAUUCUGGGAGAACAACCACAACUAAGUAAAUUGAGACUCACUUCAUUGUUCGAAGAUAGGUUUAUACAUGUAUUUUGCAUACUCCCGUGUGUAUUCAAUUACGACAUUCUAAGCUGAUAUGAUAGAAUAAAUGGGAAGUUUAUGUAACCAAUCACUGUUUUUGUGUAUCUGCUACAAGAUAUACCACCAUGUUCUUUUUGAAUAUUUGAAUUGAAGUACGUGAGGAUCCUACAUAAUUUUCUCGAUCACGCAAAAGGUUUACGUGUCUUAUAUUAAAGUAGAGAAAACAGUUUGAUACAAUACGCCUUAGCAGUGCCCUAGAGGUCACAAGAGUUUUAUAUGGAUGCUGAAAACCUCCGUAGUGUACUCAAAGGUAUAUUGUUACAUUGGACACUGAUUAACCCAAAUUGCGGUACUGACUAGGAGGCAUAUGGCCGGAGCGCUGAUCGACAGUGGUGCCGCUUGCGCGGACCCACGUCGUGGUCCAGUGGGAACAACUCACGUAGCGCCUGCAUAUUGUUGGGGUCACCGCUGAAGAUUUAUCUAUACGCCUUCAUGGCUGAUGUGGACGGAAAGGUCAUCCGCUAGUUAGACUCAGAGCUUCACGAGAAGGUGUUCACCUUGCUUGAACGCCGGGAUAUAAGAUAUGUUCUGCGCCGCUAUCUGCUUGCUCCUUUUGAGGAGCAUGGGCGGUGCAAUGUCUGCCAUGGGUCGCAUAAUCGUGAAGCAGUUUCAGGAGUGGCGGCUGCCUCACUUUUGUAACUCACUCGGUAAAUUGGACAUGAUUUAUUGAAUAUUUUUGUAUAUGAUAUGCUGUUACAUAUAUAAACUAUAUUUCUGGAUGGUAAUAUGGAGAUGAAUAUUGCAUGGAGCCGUCGAAAUUACUAAGCUAAACUGAACUAUCAAUCGGUACAUAGGCUAAGAUUAAAUUAAUCGACACAGUAGGUCUUGGAGCCAACGACCAGUGUGUUCCACUAGCUAGAUGCAUAUAGUAACGGAAGUCAAGUGUCAUAUACUCAUAUGUGGUCACAUCCAAUUCUAACAAUGUAAAUACUAGUUUUUUCACUUUACAAAUGCAACACAAAAGUUCACACACAUGAGAAAGCAAUUGGGAGCUUCAGAUAAUCAGUUGGGAUCUUCGGAUAAUGUAAUACUCGAUUUUAAGGACAAAAUUAGAUAUGCACCAUAUGUGAGUUUUAGAAGUCAAAUCUCACAUAUAGCUACAAAUAAUGGGUAAUAUCUAGAGACAAUGCAUAAAUAUAUAACAUACUUAGUAUAAAAGAGAUAACCUUCAGUAUCAAACAGCGGAUAGACAAUCUCCAAACUUCGGGUAUUACUUCUCUCCACAGGAUCCAACUGACUGGUUGAUCACAAGCCUAACAUCUCCUGGAGUGUGGGGGAAAUUGCAAGAGUGAGCACAUAUCGUACUCAACAAGUAUAACCAGGGGUUCAUGAGGCUCAAAUAGCUGACACUGGUUUGACUGCAUUUAGCUUUUAUAUGUAGAUAACAUAUUUAAUCAUUGGAUAGCAAAUAUCAAGGUAGCAUAUUAAAUCCCAUAACCACAUGAUCAAUUGUAUACAAGAAUUAUGAAUAAUACAUAUAAACAACAUAAUAAACCAUCAUUAUCAUUAUUAAUCAUGUUCAUCAGUGUCCGUCUAUUCCGUCAGUUUUCCGGGCCGCCCGUAUCCGUGGGCACGGCUAGUAUACCAGAUUUAACACUCUGCAGAGGUUGUACAUCUUUACCCAUGAGUCAUGAUUUACCCUUUCGCCCGAGGUGAUCAGCCUCUUAGCUCACUUCCAAGGAAAGUCGGCAGGGUUCACUAUGAAGUCUUUCAAAGGUUCGUCUAACAAGUUAGGGCCGCAAGGUUUCCUUUGCGUGCAGAUAUAGAUACCCCCUUCCGAAUGGCACAAUGACGCGCAGCCUAUACACAUAAGGACAGGGGCUCGCACUAUACCCAAAACGGUUCAGCCCCUCCGCCCUUUCGGGUAACCUCUAACAAGCUAGAAAAGCUUACUCAUACUUGACUAAAGCCAGAGCCAUAUAGCCCUCAUGGUUGUACGAGUUGUCUUAGCUUUUGCCAAGCGAUAAGUCCUUAUGGAGGGUCAAGAUCAAUCCAGCAAAAGCCAGAGUUCUUUCCACCCUUUAUAUUCAAGUUGCUAGAAAGCUUAUUUUAUUGUUUAUUGUAUAUCCAAACAUUCAUGUUACAUGAUCAUGGAUUAGAUUCAAGCACUAGCAGGAACUACCAAAUGCAUAUCCAAAAUAGGUAACAAGGAAUCCAGGAUAACAAUCAUCUAUGAUUCUGCUAAGGUCAUCACGGUGGACACAUGCAUAUGAUAAAUAUUGUAUUAAUGGUAUAUAGGUAACAAGGAUGAUCCCAAGUUAUACUUGCCUUGAUCAAAGCUCUCCUGAGCCUGCUGCUGGUCUUCAAAAGAUUGACCUCGAUCACCAACGUAUCGCUCACUGUCUAUACCCGAUCAUCAAUCAACAACGCGCAUUCCAAUGGACAAUCAUACACGAAGCAAACAAGCUAUAAUUAGAACAAUACACCAAAAAGUGGUAAAACAAAUAUAAAAGUUUAUGAAAAUAUUCUACGCAGCGCUACGAUCACAGAAACGUAAUGUUCACGAAAAUCGGAAUUGAAACGUAGAAGUUAUGAAUUUUCCAAGUUUUCCUAUAGAGAAAUAAUUAACUAAAUGCUACUGCAGAAUUAAAAAGUUUCAAAACAGCAAACUAAUACUUCUAACGUGUAGAGCUCGUGAAUAAGAAUCUAACGAAAUUUGAAUGGACAAAAACGGAGCUAAAAAGAGCAUUUUAUGAGCAUUAUAAAAUCAGUGGCAAACUUGUAAAUAUCAGAAAAUGUAUUUUGAAUCAACCGACAGACUUUACGUUUUCAAAAACAGAAUACGCCUUUCGUGAAUGUGCCUUGGACUGCGGGUUCUAAUACGAGAUUCUAGAGGGUCUCUUUAAGAAAACGGCCGGGCGAAGGGGUAUCCUUCUUUUUCGGCCGUAGGAUCGCGAUGGAACGGUGCAGAUCAGAUCUGGGGAGAGAGGGAGGGAGCUCCGGCCAGCUACAGUGGCCAGCGCGGUGGCGCCAUUGCCGGAGGGCAGAACUCCUCGCCGGAGUUCGUCGUUUUCGCGAUUCAGUGCAUGAUUCAACAAACGAAAAGAAUGGAAAGGCGUAGAAGCUUGCUGCGAACUCACCGAGACCAAAAUCAAGGCUCGGGAAAAGCUUGAAGGCGUCCGACGGCUUGAGAUGGCGGACCGGGCACUCCUGCAAGGUACGGCAUCGAUGAGGGAGCUGUAGGGCGCGAUAGAGAUUAAAAGGGGAGGCUCAGAACCCUUGUAGGAGCAAUACGAAGCUCGGCGUCACGAUUUAGGCGGCUCUAGGGCAGCACCGAGGAAGAACGAUGGUGGCGGCAAUCUUUGGCUUGCGGCGAGAUCCAACCAGCGGCGAUAGAAGUUAUCUAGGGAUUCCCCAAUGUUGUGGAUGGAAAGUGGAGUGCGCGGGGAGACCACAAAACUUUAUAGGGCUUGAUUUGGGAAUCCUAGCACCAAAUCCCGGAUUUACAGGAUGGGUUUCCAUCUCGGUGAGAGAAGGAGAGACCGUCUCGGCCACGACCUGAGGAAGAAGAAAGGUAAGUCGCAGACGUGUGGGCUCCAGAUGGCAGCGAGAGAAAGAAAGGGAGAAAGGGGCGGGGCGCGCUGCUGGGCCGGAGAAAGAAGUGGGCCGGGGCGGUUAGCAGGGUCGCGGGGGAGGAACGGGGGCUGGGCCGAUGGGGAGUUGGGCUGGGCGCUGGAUGGGGUCUUUUCCCCUUUCUUUUUUUUCUAUUUUAAUUUUCAAAGCCUUUUCCAAAUAGAAUUUUUAGAGCAACCAAAAUCCACCCCAAAGCAAUCAACACAAUAAUAAGAUAUGCUUCAGCAUGUAUGCAUAAACAAGUUUCUAACUCUAUGUUGAAUUUUAAAUUUCAAUAAAAUUUAUUUCUUCACUAAUUUAAAUGCUCACAGAAAUAUUUGAAUAAAUCAAUUUAAAUCUAUUAAUUUGAAAGCAAAUUUUGGGUGUUACAAACUCUACCCCCUUAAAAGAAUCUCGUCCUCGAGAAUGAAUAGUACUUACUCAAACAAUUGUGGAUAUGAUUUCCUCAGAUCAUCUUCUCUCUCCCAAGUUGCCUGUGCUUCUAAAUACCGAUUCCAUUGUACUUUGCACAUUCUAAUGAUCCAACUCCUGGUAACUCUCUCUUUAUUUGUCUCUUAAGUUCUUCUAAUGUAACACCCAAAAAUUCUAUUUCUUUUAAAUAGAUGAAAUGAAUUUAAAUGAAUUUAUUUUGUGAGCAUUUUCAAUGUAGGAAAAUAAAUAAAUUUGGAGAAAUUAAAAUUUAAUAUAAGCCUAGAGAAAACUUUAUGUUGCAUUCAUGCUGGGGCAUUCUUUUAUGUGAUGAGUGUUUUGAAAAUCAAAUUGAUUAAAAAUCCAUUUGGGAAAUGCAUUGAAAAUUUGUUUGAGAAAAAGAAAAGGAAAAGGAAUUUCUUUCUCCCCCUUUCUCUCCAUUUCGGCCUCUCGGCCCAAAACCCGCCCCGCGCGCGCCCUCUCCUUCCUGGGCCGCGGCCCAGCCGCCCCCCUCUGCCUUCCCCUCUCUCUCCCCGCUGACAGGCCGGGCCCGCCUGUCAGCUCCUCCUUCCCCAAACCAACGCCCCGCUCCUUCCUCUCUCUCUCGGUUUGGAAACCGCAAGGCCGAAGCCCGCGCCCACGAUCUUCCCCUCUUCCCCCACGUUCGGCUUGAAAAGGAUAGCGCCCGCGCCGAGCUUGAACCGCACCCCGCGCCCCAUUCGUUUCCCUGCUCACCUUCUCGCCUGGGAGCACCGAGCGCCGCCGAGUUCGCCGCCGCGGUGGAAGAUUCGAUUGGCCAAGUUUUCUUCCCCGUAAUCCCCUUGCCGAGCUCCUUUUUAGUCCCGCGAAGUCGCCUAGAUUCUUCUUCUUAUUUUUCCCGCCUCGUUUUUCUCUCUAACUGCCGCUGUGUGUGCUCAGGAGAAUCCUCGCCGCCGUUUCGCGUGGUCAGCCGAAGUCGAUCCGUCCUAGUCCUUGUUCCCGGCGUCUUCGGGUUCGCGGUGAGCUCCUCUGGCCUCCCGUGCUCUUGGAUCGAAGUUUUGUCCACCUAAGGACGUUUUCUCCUUCUUCGGCGAUCUCCCGGCCAUGGCGCCGUCGCGGAGGCCUUGCUCCGGCCGGCUGGCCGGCGAGCCCUUCCCUCUCUCCCCCCCAGAUUAAAUCCGAGCCGUAGAUCUCUAAUCUGACGGCCCAGUGAGCCCCGUACCCCUUCGCGGGUCAGUUUUGCUAAAGAGUCCCCCUGGGAUUUAGUAUUUGAGCCGCAGUCCUUAGCGCAAUUCGUAAACUACGCUUUGUCUUUUGGAAAGCGUAUUUUCCGUCGGUUAGGUCAAAAUACGCUUUCGGGAAAUUACAGAAUUGCCACUGAACUUGUUUUGGCCAUAAAAUAUUCGUUAUAGCUCCGAAUUGACCCGUUCAAAUUGCGUUAGGUUCGUAAUUAAAUUCUCUACAUGAUAGUACCACUGUUUCUGUAGUUUAGAACUUUUUAUUUUCAGGGUUAGGUUUAAUUAAUUAAUUGCCUAUAGGAAAUCGCCGAUAAGUCGUAACUUGGUCGUUUUAGCUCCGAAUUUCGUGAUCUUCGUAUCUAUGUGAUCGUAGCGAAACGUUGGUUCUGUUUUUAAAUAUUUUAUUUCAUUUUUGAUCUGUUGGUGUACUGUUCUAAUUAAAUGAUUGUUUGCUUGUAUGAAUGAACCUGGAUGCGUGUUGUUGUGUGGUACCGAUCGAGCGCAGACGGUGACGUGUCCGUGGGUGAUCCAUUUCACUUCGAGGAGCAGCAGGACCAGCAGCAGUUCCCCUUCACCAAAGGCAAGUAUAACAUGGGUUUCCCUUGUACACCUAUUCACUUAAUUAAUUACGCAUUUGCAUGUGUCUAAUUUUGAUAACCCUAAGGACAUCCUAGCUACCAGACUAAACACUUAUGACACCUAUGGGAAGAAUGCAUGUGGGUAGCUUUGCUAGUGCUCUAAUUAAUUGAGACUUUAUUAUCGCUCUGACUUUAAUAAAUAUGAUGAUAAAUAUUGGGAAAAAGGGCUAUGGUGCAAUUGACUUCGGUUGGGUUGACCUAGACCCUCCGUAAGGACUUCUCUGUAAGCGACAAUCCGGGACUUACAGUGCAACCGUGAUGGUUAUAUGUCUCUAACUUUAGCUCAGUAAUAGGAUCUCAUCUAGCUGGUUAGAGGUUACCCGAAAGGACGCAAGAGGGGCUUGCCACUUUGGGUAUAGAACUGCUUCUGUUCCUAUGUGUAUAGUCGUGAUGGAAAUGUACCAUAAGAAAGGGGGUUCUGUAUAUCUGCCUGCCGAGGAAACCUCGCGGCCCUAACUGGUUAGACGUGGCCUAUGGAAGGCUUCAUAGUGUUCCCUGCCCGCUCACCUUGGCAGUGUUAGUGGGUCUUGCAAACCCCGGGCAUAUGGGUAACACGACUUACGGGAAAAGUGCACACCUCUGCGCAGAGUUUGAUCAAAUUGGUAUACUAGCCGUGCUCUCGGACAUGAGCGGCCUUGGACCCUUACGGAAUAGUUGGGUGUGGAUGGUUAUGGGAAAUAACUAAUGAAACGCUGACGCAUUGAUCGUGAUGAUUAAUGUGGUUUAACCGUGAUGGUGAUGGUGUUAGCCGUGAAGGUUAACGGUGUUAUUAUCAUGUACUCAUUUGGGCUAAUUGGGAGCUUAAGCAUAAUUGAUGAUUAAAUAGGAUUAAAACAUUGAUCAAUUAAAAUGCUAACUGCAGUAGCCAGUGUCUGACCUUUUUGAGCCGCAUAAAUUCCUAUGUUAUGCUUGCGGAGUACGAGAUGUACUCACGCUUGUCUUUUUAUUUCUUUUGGACAAAAAUCCCGGAUGGGUAACAGAUGACAGCUAUUACGAGGAAUUUCCGGAGGACUUCUAGGUUGGCGAUCCCCCAGUCGGUCGUCCCUGUGUUGCAGUUAUCUUACCAUAGCUAGUUAUGAGUUUAUUUUCCGUUUGUCGCAGACUUUGAUAUAUUUGUGUUGUAAUAACGUUUUGUAAGACACUUGUGAUGAUACAUUUGUAAUUUGUCGACUUGUGUGUGCGACUAUUCCUGGGGCGCACAUGCGAUUAUUGUACUCAAAUUUAUCCUUAAAUUUGGGUGUGACAAAUUGGUAUCAAAGCAAGGCUGACUGUAGGACGCAAACCUUGGUAGAAACAGUCGAUUUUAGGGUUCUUAUUUUCGCUUUAUUUAUUUCACUGCUCACUUUACUUUCUUGUUAUUUUAUUAAAAGUUUAUAUUCUUACCCAAUGUUCUAUUUAUGUAAACAUAUUGAUUCUAAUUCUUAAAACAAAAUUUAUAGAUGCCUCGUCGCAGCGCAGCCGCGUAUCGCGCCCUCUUCGUCGCCGCCCGUGCUCCACCAGUUGCACCAGCACCAGCUCCAGUACCUGCACCUGUGCCAGCACCAGUACCCGUACCAGAGCCCGAGGUCGUCGCCUCUGGUGGCGGCGAGGAGGAGGAGCCUAUGGACACGGGGUCCCCUACGCCUACACCUUCAGCUCCUACACCAGUGGCGGUACCGAUUCCGCAGGCUGCCGCUCCAGUACCACCUGCACCUGCACCACCUUCGCCUGCACCCCACGCGUCGACGGGUUCAGCACCGACGCCUCAGUACCCUCAGGUUGUUCCGGAGAUGGGAUGGACCUCGAGGAACAAGUUCAUGGAGGCGGACGAGGACGCUCGCUACCACACUCUGCUCACGGGUGUGUUGGCGAGCUAUUACCCGGAGUUUGCCACCACCGUCCGCUACCUUUGCUCGGAGCACAAGCACCCGUUGGAGAACACCUACUGGAAGGCCGAGGUGAUCAUCACAGCUCGGAACAACGUCGACAACUCAGACGAGGUGGAGUCCAUCCACGAGAGCAGGGUUAGACGUGCUUCCGCCUACGAGAGCAUGGAGGAUGCAGCUUAGGCCGCGUACUUUCACUACCAUGGCCGCCGUUUUGAGGCCAUGCAGGAGGACAGGUACCGGUUCCUUCCCCGCAACGACCCAGAUGGAAAGACAUGGCAUGUCCUGGCACCUCCUGCCGGCGACCCUACCCUGGAUACGACUGUGAGACACGUCAGUGCCAUUCAAGAGAUGAAUGGGGCACUGAGACAGGAGCUGCGUGUUGCGCAGCAGGCGGAGAAGCGCCUCCAGCGUCAGGUGGAUGAGCUGCGUGGUCAGCUUGGACAGCCACCCAUUUACAAGAAGAAGCCCCGCAAGUUCGUUCUCCAAGAUAGAGCUCCUUAGAUUUCCCAGUACUUUCUAGAUUGACGCUAGCACGAGUAUUUCGGUAAUGUGUGGCAUGUGAACUUUAGUGAGUUGCUGUUUGUGUUGAUGAACAUUUAUGAUUUGGAGUUUUGUUUGAUUGUGGAAACAUGUGGGUCUGUCCGCAUGUUUCUAAACCUUAAUUCUAGAAGUAAAUGUUGUUUAAAUUCGAGGUUGGGUUACUUUAUCUGUCUCAGUCAUGUUGUUUCUGGAGCGGUCUGGGAUUUUUAUUCAGUAUCUCAUUAUCGGUUCAGUCAAAAAUUACGAAAUUUUUAUGGUGAAAACUAGACUGGUAUAUCUUUCAUCUCCAACUGGAAUCACCUCAUUAUCUGUUCGGAUCUAUGAGAUAUGUCCGUUUUAAUCUGCUGUACCUGCGCAGACUGAGAACCAGAGCAGAACCUGAUGAAUCACAAUUUUGAUUAUGUUACUUUUGGAAUCAGUAAAUGUGGUCUGAAUAAAGUUUGUAGAGAAUUUCCUAACCUUUCCAACGAUGUAUACCAUGUUCCUUUUGAGUCUAUAGAUUCUGAGAUAAGCACAGAUUACUGACCUGCUGAGUUUGAAACUUGUCCAGAAAACUGCUAGACUUGUUUUUAUUCAUUAUAAGCGAUGAAUAAUUAUUUUUUUUGGAAGAUCACUAAAAGCCGUGAAUCUUUGUUGGAAGCAGAUGGACGCCGAACGUGCAGCCGCUGGUCGUGGACGUGGCCGUGGCCGUGGUCGUGGCCGUGGACGUGGUGUACCUGAGAAUCCACCACCACCACCGCCGCCGAUGACUAUCGAGCAGCUCAUGGGUAUGCAAGCUAAUCUGAUGCAAGCCAUGAUGAACCGUAUGAACAAUGAACCAGUAGCAGCACCACCGCCGGUUCAAGUCCGUGACAAGCGAGGGGAGUUCUUGAAAGGACGUCCUCCGGUGUUCACCCAUGCCUCUGAUCCACUGGAGGCAGACGACUGGUUAAAAGCAGUCGAGAAGCAGCUGAACAUAGCCUAAUGCAGCGACCUAGAGAAAGUGUUGUACGCAUCAGGCCAGCUGCAAGGACCUGCACAGGAGUGGUGGGAGUCCUAUCAAUAUGGACGCCCGAACAACGCUCCGCCAGUCACCUGGAAGGAGUUUACGGAAGGGUUCAGGUCCCAUCAUAUUCCGGAGGGCCUGAUAGAACUGAAAGCGGAAGAGUUCAGAUCUCUCAAGCAGGGAUCAAUGUCAGUCAGUGAGUAUCGUGACAAGUUUGCUCAACUAUCACGAUAUGCUCCAUAUGAGGUGGCCAGGGACUCUGACAAGCAACGUCUUUUCCUGAAGGGUCUGUAUGAUGGACUGCAGCUGCAGCUGAUGAGCAAUACCUACCCUUGUUUUCAAGAAUUGGUGAACCGCGCUAUUGUCAUCGACAACAAGCGCAAGGAGAUGGAUGCAAAGAAGAGAAAGCUCCAGGGGCAGCAGUCGGGCAGCAACACUCGCCCACGUGCGUACCCUCAGUAGGGAUUCCCUCAGCGCAGUCAAGGACCACAGAAUCAGUGGAACCGUGGUCAGUUUCCUCAGCGUCCCCAGUACUACCAGCAGCACAAUCACCAAAACCAAUAACGUCCCCAGCAGCAGUAUGGCAACCAGAAUCAGCAACGCCCCCAGCAUCAGGUCAGCAAUCAGGCACCACGCCAAGGAGUGCCCAAUAAUGCUCCUGGCAAGAGUGCAGCACCCAGCGGCAAUCCCAAUGCCUGUUACCGCUGCGGAGAGGUGGGACACUAUGCCUACCAGUGCCCCAAGAAGCAGAAUCCACCAGCCCAGCAAAAUCAGAACAACAAUCAGAGGCCUGCUCGACCUCCGUUCUCUGGGAAAGUGAACCAUGUGUCCACUGACACAGCUCAGGAAGCACCUGAGGUUAUGAUGGGUACGUUCAACAUCAACUCCAUCCCCGCUACAGUACUGUUUGAUUCUGGUGCUUCACAUUCUUUUAUCUCCCAAGCUUUUGUUAGAGUGCAUAGCAUCCCACUUUGUGCACUGAAAAAUUCUAUGCUAGUAAAUUCACCGGGAGGCACCAUGCCAGCUAAUUACUGGAGCCCCUCCACUAGUAUAUCUCUAAGGGGGGUAGAUUUCAAGGUGAAACCUAUUGUGCUAAGAACCAUGGGAAUUGACCUCAUACUUGGAAUGGAUUGGAUGAAGCAGCAUAGGGCAGUAAUUCAUUGUCAGGAGAAAUCUGUGGUGGUGACAUCACCAGAAGGGGAUAGAAUAAGUGUGGAUGUGAUAGUGCAGUCUCAGCCGACUGCUACAGUGAAUCAGUUGAGUGGUGGUAAUCAAGAAGACCAAGUGGUGGACGAGUUCCCCGAUGUGUUCCCGGACGAGUUGCCAGGUAUGCCACCAGACCGAGACAUUGAAUUUCUUAUUGAGCUUUUACCUCGAACUGCACCUAUAGCAAAAAGACCAUAUAGAAUGGGGGUAAAUGAAUUAGAGGAACUUAAGAAGCAGCUUAAGGAAAUGCAAGAAAAAGGGUUUAUUCGUCCUAGUUCUUCACCAUGGGGUGCACCCGUAAUCUUUGUUGAUAAGAAAGAUGGCACUAGGAGGAUGUGUGUGGAUUAUCGGUCAUUAAAUGAGGUCACUAUUAAAAACAAGUACCCACUGCCUAGAAUAGAUGACUUAUUUGACCAACUGAAAGGAGCAUGUGUGUUCUCCAAAAUUGACCUCCGAUCUGGCUAUCACCAGUUGAAAAUCCGUGCAACUGACAUACCUAAGACAGCUUUUACCACAAGGUAUGGCUUGUAUGAGUAUACAGUCAUGUCAUUUGGGCUGACCAAUGCACCUGCAUACUUCAUGUAUAUGAUGAACAAGGUGUUCAUGGAGUAUUUGGAUAAGUUCGUGGUAGUAUUCAUUGAUGAUAUAUUAAUCUUCUCCAAAACCAAAGAAGAACAUGCUGAACACUUGAGGCUGGUCUUGCAAAAGCUUAGAGAGAAUAAAUUGUAUGCCAAGAAAAGCAAGUGCGAGUUUUGGUUGGAUGAGGUCUCAUUUUUGGGACAUGUGGUCUCUAACGGUGGAAUAGCCGUACACCCCAGCAAAGUGCGGGAUGUGCUAAAUUGGAAGCCUCCAACUAAUACUAGUGAGAUCCGUAGCUUUCUGGGACUAGCUGGUUAUUAUAGGAGAUUUAUUAAAGGAUUCUCCAAGUUAGCAAAGCCUAUGACAGCCCUACUAGAGAAGAGUGCCAAAUUUAUUUGGUCAGAUAAGUGCCAAGAAAAUUUUGAGGAGCUAAAGAAAAGGUUGACCACAGCCCCAGUGUUGAUCUUACCAGAUCUGAGUAAAACCUUCUCUAUUUAUUGCGAUGCAUCUCGCCUAGGCCUUGGAUGUGUGCUUAUGCAAGAAGGAAGAGUAGUGGCGUACGCAUCCAGGCAGUUGAGAAAACAUGAGCUGAACUAUCCUACUCAUGAUUUGGAGCUAGCUGCCGUGGUUCACGCUCUAAAGAUUUGGAGGCAUUAUCUAAUUGGACACAAGUGUGAUAUUUAUACGGAUCACAAAAGUCUAAAGUAUAUUUUCACACAGUCAGACCUGAACCUAAGGCAACGCCGCUAGCUAGAAUUAAUAAAGGAUUAUGACCUGGAAGUGCAUUACCAUCCCGGGAAGGCAAACGUUGUUGCCGAUGCACUUAGCCGAAAGAGCUAUGCCAAUGGGCUGCAAUUGACCUUCAUUCCCACAGAGUUGCUAGCUGAAAUAGAGCAUCUCAAUUUGGGUUUAGUGAACAACACUGUUGAAUUGGAGUUGGAGCCCACCUUAGAGCAAGAAAUCCGCAAAGGUCAGUUGGAAGAUGAGAAACUAAAGGAAAUUUCAGAGAAUGUAGUGCUUGGAAAAGCACCGGGUUUCAAGUUAGAUGAAAAUGGUACACUAUGGUUUGGGAAGAGAAUAUGUGUGCCAGAAGUGAAAUCCAUCCGAGAUGCAAUCCUGCGUGAAGCACAUGACUCUGCAUAUUCAAUUCACCCCGGAAGCACCAAGAUGUAUCUAGAUCUUAAAGAAAAAUACUGGUGGUAUGGAUUAAAGAGAGAUGUGGCAGAGUAUGUAGCGUUAUGUGAUACUUGUCAGAGGGUGAAAGCCGAGCACCAAAGACCUGUAGGGUUCUUGCAACCAAUGCAAGUGCCUGAAUGGAAAUGGGAAGAAGUAGGUAUGGAUUUCAUCACUGGGUUGCCCCGCACUCAACUUGGGUAUGAUUCAAUUUGGGUAAUAGUGGAUCGACUCACUAAAGUUGCUCACUUUUUGCCCGUUAAGACCAACUAUGAUGGUGCAAAGCUGGCAAAGUUAUAUAUGGAUAGAAUCGUGAGUCUGCACGGAGUUCCGAAGAAGAUCGUGUCUGAUCGGGGUACACAGUUCACAUCUCAGUUUUGGCAUAAAGUACAUGAAUCAUUGGGAACAAAGUUGAACUUUAGUUCCGCGUAUCAUCCCCAAACCGAUGGGCAGACUGAAAGAGUAAAUCAGAUUCUAGAAGACAUGUUGAGAGCAUGUGCGUUACAGUAUGGUACCAGCUGGGACACUAGUUUACCAUAUGCUGAAUUCUCAUAUAAUAAUAGUUACCAGAAAAGUCUCGAUAUGGCACCGUUCGAAGCAUUGUAUGGGCGGAAAUGUAGAACACCUCUGUUUUGGAAUCAGACUGGUGAGAGUCAAGUAUUUGGACCUGAUGUUCUUAGAGAUGCAGAGGAAAAAGUGCGGAAAAUACGGGACAACUUGAGAGUAGCUCAGUCUCGACAAAAGAGUUAUGCGGAAACUAGAAGAAGAGAAUUGGCAUUCGAGAUAGGCGACUAUGUGUAUUUGAAGGUGUCACCUAUGAGAAGUGUCAGGAGGUUUAAUAAGAAGGGAAAAUUGGCACCGAGGUACGUUGGACCGUUCAGAAUUCUUAGGAGACGUGGAGAAGUGGCCUAUCAGUUAGAGUUGCCUGCGAGUAUGUCGGGUAUUCACGAUGUGUUCCAUGUGUCACAACUGAAGAAAUGUUUGCGAGUGCCUGAGGAACAAAUUCCAUUGGAGGAACUCACAGUUGAAGGAGAUCUAACUUAUGAGAAAUAUCCAAUCAAGAUCUUAGAAACAGCAGAAAGAGUCACCCGGAGUCGGGUUAUAAAGAUGUGCAAAGUGCAGUGGCACCGAUAUAAAGAAGAAGAAGCCACUUGGGAAAGAGAAGAUGAGCUGAGACAGUCUUAUCCAUAUCUCUUUGAGUAAGCAUCGUCUCAAUCUCGAGGACAAGAUUAUUUUUAAGGGGGGUAGAAUUGUAACACCCAAAAAUUCUGUUUCUUUUAAAUAGAUGAAAUGAAUUUAAAUGAAUUUAUUUUGUGAGCAUUUUCAAUGUAGGAAAAUAAAUAAAUUUGGAGAAAUUAAAAUUUAAUAUAAGCCUAGAGAAAACUUUAUGUUGCAUUCAUGCUGGGGCAUUCUUUUAUGUGAUGAGUGUUUUGAAAAUCAAAUUGAUUACAAAUCCAUUUGGGAAAUGCAUUGAAAAUUUGUUUGAGAAAAAGAAAAGGAAAAGGAAUUUCUUUCUCCCCCUUUCUCUCCAUUUCGGCCUCUCGGCCCAAAACCCCCCCGCGCGCGCCCUCUCCUUCCUGGGCCGCGGCCCAGCCGCCCCCCUCUCCCUUCCCCUCUCUCUCCCCGCUGACAGGCCGGGCCCGCCUGUCAGCUCCUCCUUCCCCAAACCAACGCCCCGCUCCUUCCUCUCUCUCUCGGUUUGGAAACCGCAAGGCCGAAGCCCGCGCCCACGAUCUUCCCCUCUUCCCCCGCGUUCGGCUUGAAAAGGAUAGCGCCCGCGCCGAGCUUGAACCGCACCCCGCGCCCCAUUCGUUUCCCUGCUCACCUUCUCGCCUGGGAGCACCGAGCGCCACCGAGUUCGCCGCCGCGGUGGAAGAUUCGAUUGGCCAAGUUUUCUUCCCCGUAAUCCCCUUGCCGAGCUCCUUUUUAGUCCCGCGAAGUCGCCUAGAUUCUUCUUCUUAUUUUUCCCACCUCGGUUUUCUCUCUAGCUGCCGCUGUGUGUGCUCAGGAGAAUCCUCGCCGCCGUUUCGCGUGGUCAGCCGAAGUCGAUCCGUCCUAGUCCUUGUUCCUGGCGUCUUCGGGUUCGCGGUGAGCUCCUCUGGCCUCCCGUGCUCUUGGAUCGAAGUUUUGUCCACCAAAGGACGUUUUCUCCUUCUUCGGCGAUCUCCCGGCCAUGGCGCCGCCGCGGAGGCCUUGCUCCGGCCGGCCAGCCGGCGAGCCCUUCCCUCUCUCCCCUCCAGAUUAAAUCCGAGCCGUAGAUCUCUAAUCUGACGGCCCAGUGAGCCCCGUACCCCUUCGCGGGUCAGUUUUGCUAAAGAGUCCCCCUGGGAUUUAGUAUUUGAGCCACAGUCCUUAGCGCAAUUCGUAAACUACGCUUUGUCUUUUUGGAAAGCGUAUUUUCCGUCGGUUAGGUCAAAAUACGCUUUCGGGAAAUUACAGAAUUGCCACUGAACUUGUUUUGGCCAUAAAAUAUUCGUUAUAGCUCCGAAUUGACCCGUUCAAAUUGCGUUAGGUUCGUAAUUAAAUUAUCUACAUGAUAAUACCACUGUUUUUGUAGUUUGCAACUUUUUAUUUUCAGGGUUAGGUUUAAUUAAUUAAUUGCCUAUAGGAAAUCGCCGAUAAGUCGUAACUUGGUCGUUUUAGCUCCGAAUUUCGUGAUCUUCGUAUCUAUGUGAUCGUAGCGAAACGUAGGUUCUGUUUUUAAAUAUUUUAUUUCAUUUUUGAUCUGUUGGUGUACUGUUCUAAUUAAAUGAUUGUUUGCUUGUAUGAAUGAACCUGGAUGCGUGUUGUUGUGUGGUACCGAUCGAGCGCAGACGGUGACGUGUCCGUGGGUGAUCCAUUUCACUUCGAGGAGCAGCAGGACCAGCAGCAGUUCCCCUUCACCGAAGGCAAGUAUAACAUGGGUUUCCCUUGUACACCUAUUCACUUAAUUAAUUACGCAUUUGCAUGUGUCUAAUUUUGAUAACCCUAAGGACAUCCUAGCUACCUGACUAAACACUUAUGACACCUAUGGGAAGAAUGCAUGUGGGUAGCUUUGCUAGUGCUCUAAUUAAUUGAGACUUUAUUAUCACUCUGACUUUAAUAAAUAUGAUGAUAAAUAUUGGGAAAAAGGGCUAUGGUGCAAUUGACUUCGGUCGGGUUGACCUAGACCCUCCGUAAGGACUUCUCUGUAAGCGACAAUCUGGGACUUACAGUGCAACCGUGGUGGUUAUAUGGCUCUAACUUUAGCUCAGUAAUAGGAUCUCAUCUAGCUGGUUAGAGGUUACCCGAAAGGGCGCAAGAGGGGCUUGCCACUUUGGGUAUAGAACUGCUUCUGUUCCUAUGUGUAUAGCCGUGAUGGAAAUGUGCCAUAAGAAAGGGGGGUUCUCUAUAUCUGCCUGCCGAGGAAACCUCGCGGCCCUAACUGGUUAGACGUGGCCUAUGGAAGGCUUCAUAGUGUUCCCUGCCCGCUCACCUUGGCAGUGUUAGUGGGUCUUGCAAACCCCGGGCAUAUGGGUAACACGACUUACGGGAAAAGUGCACACCUCUGCGCAGAGUUUGAUCAAAUUGGUAUACUAGCCGUGCUCUCGAACAUGAGCGGCCUUGGACCCUUACGGAAUAGUCGGGUGUGGAUGGUUAUGGGAAAUAACUAAUGAAACGCUGACGCAUUGAUCGUGAUGAUUAAUGUGGUUUAACCGUGAUGGUGAUGGUGUUAGCCGUGAAGGUUAACGGUGUUAUUAUCAUGUACUCAUUUGGGCUAAUUGGAAGCUUAAGCAUAAUUGAUGAUUAAAUAGAAUUAAAACAUUGACCAAUUAAAAUGCUAACUACAGUAGCCAGUGUCUAACCUUUUUGAGCUGCAUAAAUUCCUAUGUUAUGCUUGCGGAGUACGAGAUGUACUCACGCUUGUCUUUUUAUUUCUUUUGGACAAAAAUCCCGGAUGGGUAACAGAUGACAGCUAUUACGAGGAAUUUCCGGAGGACUUCUAGGUUGGCGAUCCCCCAGUCGGUCGUCCCUGUGUUGGAGUUAUCUUACCAUAGCUAGUUAUGAGUUUAUUUUCCGUUUGUCGCAGACUUUGAUAUAUUUGUGUUGUAAUAACGUUUUGUAAGACACUUGUGAUGAUACAUUUGUAAUUUGUCGACUUGUGUGCGCGACUAUUCCUGGGGCGCACAUGAGAUUAUUGUACUCAAAUUUAUCCUUAAAUUUGGGUGUGACAUCUAACUCAUUUAUCCCCAUUCCGUGAGGCCUUUUAGCUAUAGGUGCAGUAUCAGGUGGUAAUUUGAUAAUAUUUAAUUCAAUGUCUCCGGUCAAGAAGCAUACCUGGCAACUUAUCCGAAAAAAAAUCAUCUGGAAAUUUAUUCACAACUACUACUUUCUCUUCACACUCCAUCUCCGUAGUAUAUUUCUUCAUCCAAUCCAAACCCAAGAUUAUAUCUAUGCUUGGAGUUCUCAUAAGCAUAGGACCGACAGGGAAAUCUACCCCCCUUAAAAUGAGAUUUAUUGGGGGAUACUAGAGACUACUUCUCCUAUCGUUUUUAGAUGCUACACAUCAUAGUCUUUUAAAUUUCUUGUACCAAGUCUCUUAAUCCAAGGUUGGUUUCAACACUAAGUUCCAUCUAUUGGUACCUUUAUCGCCAAUAAGUUGUUUCACUCUCAUCUUGCAUAUGGAACUGAAGCGCCCCUGGUAAACCAGGAACUCAAAUGUGAUACAAUACUAGUCCCAGGAGGCUAGUAACACAUUUAUUACAUCAGAUAAGUUUCAGCGCAGUAGUCUUGGAAAGCGUGGACAAGGAAGGCACGCUAUAAUAAUAAGACACCAAAAUACAACACAGGUCCAAAGGACCCAGAAACAAACGAUAUCGCCAUCGAACAUCUGACGAGUCCCAAUGCCACAGGCUUAGUUGGGUGCAGACACGACCUUACUCGAACGCCACUUCGGGAUCGAAGUCCGGAUCUUCCUCUGUUUAAUAAAGCAAGGGUGAGUACAAAGUACUCAGCAAAUCCAACCUUACCCUACGGAAGGGGAUAACAGUAUAUAUGCAUAUGGAUAAAUCAAGGAUGAGGCUUAGUUUUAUUUGCAUAAAGCUAUCUUUUUACACAUGCAAGGUUUCAUUUCACAAAUACUGUUGUAAAAGACCUCUUUUUCCACAUAUGAUAGUAUUUCUGAAAAUGGGGGUUUGAUCACAAUUUUAAGUGUUGUUGAACCCUUGUUCCCACAACACAAUGGCAGUCAACCAUUUAUUUCCAAAAUCACACUCACUCUCAUAUUUUCACUCAUCCCAUCCCAUCUAGUUGUUGAAACCAAACCAUAACCCGUCCGAGACCGCGGACACGGCUAUCCAGAUAGAUUUACACUCUGCAGAGGUUGUACACUUUUCCCACAAGUAGGAUACCAUAACUUACACCAUCGUGCAAGCACAGAUCCAUCAAAGUCAUUACCCUCCAUAGCUAAGUAAUGGCGCUCACCACGGGAACACUAUGGCCACAUCUCAUGAUACCAUAAUAAUUCACAAAGCUCUUUUCAUAUAUUUCCACAAUUUCACAUACAUCACUUAGUGUCCCGUUGCACACCUGCCUCCAGGUGAUUGCCAUACUAACUAGAGGGAUUUAGACUAAGCCUUUCCCAUGCAAGGCGAGUGGUUGUACGAUAAAUGAGUUAGGCAAGAUGAAUCAUCAACUCAGUCCUUAAUCGAGACAAGGCGGAUAUCUUCACGCUUAACCCCGCAAGGUAUAAGCCACAACACCAGGACAUCCCCAAAAGAGAUCUCAUCCGCCCCAUCUCCAUAGUAAUCACAUCUAUAACUUGUUCAUUAACCCUUUCACAAUACCCACAAUUUAUUUUCACCACUCACACCUUUUACUUUUAAAAUUAUUAUAUUUGAUAAAAUACAACGAUGAGUAUCCAGAAUGAGUAACAAGUCCUAAGCAUACUAAAUAAUAAUAUUUCUGUCAUAGCAUAUUAUUUUGUUCCUAGGUUCGAACAAGAUAAUUACCGGGUAAUAUCAAUUCAAGGAUGGCUAUUCAACAGGUUUUAACUAAGCAGCGAAAAUACUUCGUACAUAUAUCGUACAUGCAAUAUUUAAAACGGCUUCUACGGGUUGUGUUUAAAAAUAGGAUCAAUAUGCAUCAAAGGGGAUCGGUUGGACUUGCCUCCGUCGGCGUCCUCGGCAAACUCCUGCUGACAGUCCGGGUCCUCGGCGUCAAACUCGCGGUACUCGUCUCCAACGUUCUCGUUUUCCGGCUCGUUCACUCCGUCAACUAAAAUACGCGACGAACGACACAGACAAUAGGCACAGAUAAAUAAUCAUAUAAAUUCAAAUGAGCUCCAAAAAUCAUGAAAUUAAUAUGGGAGGUAGAUCAUGAUUUUAGAUGAAUUUAGGAAAAAGAAUUAUUAAAAUCAGAGUUAGCAUGUGGCAUUUGUGAAAUGGCCGGAAUUUAAUCAUGCGAAAAAGGCUAACGAUGAUUAAGGAAUGGAUGCUUCACGUGGGCAUUUGUUUGGCUGGUAGUGCAUGUUGUAUGCAUGCAUGUACUAUUUGGAGUUAAUGCUUGGCCCACACAUGCAUGGUUAGAGACAAAUUAGCAGGGGUCAUUAGAACUCUUCUGUAUGUCAUGGUUCUAUUCGUGGUGUUCUUGGCAGUGAACCGGUACAGACAAAUACAUGGAAAAAUACAGAAAAAUACUACAGAAAGACAGAGAAGAGCAAGGAGAUGCUCAUGAGCUGCUCACCUCGUCUUGCGACGACAGUCGAGCUCGGCUUCUGCGUAUGGCCGUAUACGGUAUACGCGAAGUGAGAGCGAGUGAGCGAGUGAAUGAACGUGUUUCUCGGGUGGUGAGAGUGAGCACCCGAGGCUGGCUUUUUAUAGGCCAAAGCGCUCAGCUGCGUGCCAUUAAAAAUGCUACUGUAGCGCAUGGUCGGUGCCUAAUUUCAUACGAAGGACGAUGUCCCAUUUGCAUGCACGUUGCAUGCAAAUGGACGGUGCCUAAUCACCGUGUCCUUGCAUGCAGGUGCAUGCAAAUGGUCGGUGGCAUGUCCUGCAUGCAUGCAUGAGAUAUAUAUUCGUGUAGGUGCACUGCUAUGUUUUCUCGCAUGUAAGCUUGCUGGUACUUGCUAUUAUUUGUGCGCGAAAAAUAUGGAUGGAGAUACUAUAGAGCUCAAAUUAUUUUAUAGUUUUUGAAAUAUAUUUUGAAAAUAAUUUUUAAUGCGAGUGAUUUUCGAAUGUGAAUUUUUGGAUGUUACAAACCUACCCCCACUUAAAAGGAAUCUCGUCCUCGAGAUUCGGCUGGGUCCUAAAUAGAUGGGGAAACUCUUUUCUCAGAGCAUCUUCUCUUUCCCAUGUUGCUUCUGCUUCAGUGUGUCUACUCCACUGAACACGACAAAUUCGGACUGUUGUCGUUCGAGUUUGCUUGGUGACUGUAUCUAGGAUUUUUAUCGGCACUUCUUGAUAUCUUAGGUCGUCUUGUAAAUCAACUGUGUCUGGCGAUAUUUGCUCCUCUGGUACUCUAAGACAUUUCUUCAAUUGGGAGACAUGAAACACAUUGUGUAUAUCUGACAUUUUUCAGGUAGCCGAAUACGAUAGGCUACAACACCAAUCCUCUGUAAUACUUGAUAUGGUCCAAUAUACCGAGGUGCUAGCUUGCCUCUGACUUGGAACCUUCGAGUUCCUCGAAUAGGAGAGACUUUGACAUACACAAAAUCUCCAACUGCAAAACUUAACUCCCGCCUUCUUUUAUCAGAAUAGCUCUUUUGACGUGAUUGUGCCUCUUUCAAUUUUUCUCUGAUUUCAGCUACACGAUCUUCUGCUUCUUUUAUAAGGGCUGGUCCAAGCAAGGUUCGUUCUCCAACUUCUGACCACAUCAAUGGGGUUCUACAUUUUCUUCCAUACAGGGACUCAAAAGGUGACAUGCCCAAACUAGCUUGGUAACUGUUAUUAUAGGAGAACUGUGCAUAAGUUAGGCUUUUCUCCCAAUCUUUACCAUAUGUGAGCACAUAUGCUCUUAGCAUAUCUUCCAUAAUCUGAUUUACUCUUUCAGUCUGGCCAUCUGUUUGAGGAUGAUAAGCUGAGCUAAAAUCUAGCUUGGUUCCCAUAGCUUCAUGCAAACUUUUCCAGAACUUAGAGGUAAAUUGGGUACCUCGGUCAGAUACAAUCCUACUUGGCACACCAUGCAAUUUGACUAUGUUAUCCACAUAUAACUGGGCUAACUUGUCUCCACUAUAUUUGGUGCGCACAGGUAUGAAGUGAGCAACCUUGGUAAGGCAGUCCACUAUUACCCAUAUUGAAUCAUUUCCUUUCAGAGUUUUGGGUAAUCCAUUCACAAAAUCCAUGCCUAUCUCAUCCCAUUUCCAAACAGGAAUAGGCAAUGGCUGGAGCAAGCCUGCUGGUUUCUGAUGCUCCGCUUUAACCCUUUGGCAAACAUCACAUUGUGCAACAAAUCGUGCCACAUCAGCUUUCAUGCCAUUCCACCAAUAUCUUUCUUUUAGGUCCAUGUACAUCUUGGUGGCACCAGGGUGGAUAGAAUAAGCUGAGUUAUGGGCUUCAUCAAGGAUUAAUUCUUGAAACUUUCCCUCCUUGGGCACACAAAUCCUGUUUUUAUACCACAAUACUCCUUUGUUAUCCACUCUAAAGUAUGGAGCUUUAUUUUCUCCAGUUUGCUCACGAAUCUUCAUCAGAUCCUUAUCCUUAUGUUGCAUCUGUUUGAUUUCUUCCACAAGAGUUGGCUGCACCAUCAGACUGCCAUUUUGAGGUUGACGUACUAUAUGCAUGUUCAACUGUGCUAUCUCUUCUUGUAGGUGAGUGUUCUUAGGCACCAACUGCUGACCAUAUGACCUUCUGCUUAGGGCAUCUGCUACCACGUUGGCCUUUCCUGGGUGGUAAUAAAUCUCAAGGUUGUAGUCCUUGAUUAAUUCCAACCAUCUUCUUUGCCUUAGGUUCAAGUCUGACUGUGUGAAGAUGUACUUCAAACUCUUGUGAUCAGUGUAGAUUUCACACUUGUUUCCAAUGAGGUAGUGUCUCCAAAUCUUGAGAGCAUGCACUAUAGCUGCUAACUCUAAAUCAUGGGUAGGGUAAUUUUGCUCAUGAGGUCUAAGCUGACGAGAUGCAUAAGCAACCACUUUUCCUCCUUGCAUGAGAACACAUCCUAAACCUUGUCUUGAGGCAUCACAGUAUAUGAUGAAAUCUUGGUGAAUGUCUGGCAAGGUUAACACUGGUGCUGUUGUUAGUCUCUUCUUCAACUCUUGGAAACUCUUCUCACAUGAUUCUGUCGAAGUAAAUUUCUUAUCCUUCCUAAGAAGCUCUGUCAUGGGUCUGGCUAUCUUGGAAAAUCCUUCUAUAAACCUUCGAUAAUAUCCAGCUAAUCCAAGAAAACUUCUAACCUCACUCACAUUGGUGGGUUGCUGCCAAUGGGAGACAGCUUCUACUUUCUCAGGGUCAACUGCAACUCCUUCAGCUGUCAAGAUAUGGCCUAGAAAUGCAACCUUCUCAAGCCAAAAUUCACACUUGCUGAAUUUAGCAUACAACUUGUGUCUUCUUAGCUUUUCCAACACUACUCUCAAGUGUUGCCCAUGUUCUUCAGCACUCUUAGAGUAGAUAAGUAUGUCAUCAAUGAAGACUACAACAAACUUAUCUAACUCUUCCAUGAAUACCUUAUUCAUGAGGUUCAUGAAAUAGGCAGGGGCAUUGGUUAAUCCAAAGGACAUCACUGUAAACUCAUAUUGUCCAUAUCUGGUUACAAAGGCUGUCUUGGGAACAUCACUAUUCUUGAUCUUGAGCUGGUGAUAACCUGAUCUCAAAUCAAUCUUAGAGAAAUACUUGGCUCCUUUAAGCUGAUCAAAAAGAUCAUCUAUCCUUGGCAGGGGAUACUUAUUCUUGAUGGUGACUUCAUUUAGGGACCUAUAAUCCACACACAUCCUCAUACCUCCAUCUUUCUUCUUCACAAACAAAACUGGGGCUCCCCAUGGUGAAGAACUAGGUCUAAUAUAGCCUUUCUGCUGCAAUUCUCUUAGCUGCUCUUUCAGUUUAGCUAACUCUGCUGGAGCCAUUCUGUAAGGUCUCUUGGCUAUGGGGGCAGUCCCGGGGAUAAGAUCAAUGUUGAACUCUAUAUCCCUGUCUGGUGGCAUCCCAGGUAGUUCCUCAGGGAAUACAUCAGGGUAUUCUUGCACUAUUGGUAUUUCCUCUAUGGUCCUUUCAUCCAAGUUGAAGACCAUUGGAUUAACUUUAGACCCUCGGGUUUGGCAUUUCACUUUAAUCCCUUCAUGGUUAACUAAUGAUACUUCCUUGGUUGCACAACUAAUAAUUCCAUUGUGUCUGGUUAACCAAUCCAUUCCAAGGAUAACAUCUAUUCCUUUGGACUUGAGCACUACUAAGUCUCCUAAGAAAACUACCCCACUUAGAAUGAUCCUUACAUUUGAACAACCUAGAUGACAUUUGAUGUCAGACCCAGGUGUUCGGGUUAUUAGGGGUAACUUUAGUAGUACUGUGGGUAUUUGAUGCUUCUCAACAAAACUUGAUGAUAUGAAUGAAUGUGAUGCUCCAGAAUCAAAUAAUACUGUUGCAAGUACUGAAUCGACUAAGAACUCACCAAGUACCACUCCUGAAGCAGUCUGAGCAUCUUGAGCAUGAAUAUGGUUGACACGGGCUCUACCAUAGGAUUGUUGAGGUUGCUUCAUCAUCUGGCUAUUAUUGUUGGUGUUGCUAUUGUUGCGAGGGAAACCACGGUUGACUCCAGACACUGCAGGUCUUGGUCCAUUAACAGUGUGGGACUGAGUGGAUACUGCUGGUGGGUUGUUCUUGUAGGGACAGUUGGCGAUGUAGUGUCCAGUCUCAUGGCAAUUAAAGCAAGUUCUGACAUUGUUUGUGACUUGACUAGUGCUGUUCUGUUGAGUCUUGCCAUAAGUUUGAUUCUGAUAGGUUGUCUUGGGCUGAUAUGAUGUCUGCAUUUGGUUAUUGGAGAUACUAGCAGGAGAGCGAAACUGCAUUGGGGCUUGAGUCCGCUGGCUCGGUUGGCUAAAGGUUUUCAGCCUCUGGGAUCUAGCACCAUCUUGAACCUUGCGCUCCAGAAACUUGCGCUUGUUUUCCUUCCUUUCUUCAGUCUUGGCCACAUCAGUCGGAAUGGUCCUGUUCAUCAAGGUGUUGAAGUCUGUAUAGAUCUGUGGGGUCAUGAGGGUUCUGAGCUCACAGGUCAAUCCUUCUAUGAACUUUGUCUGCUUCUUGGCAUCAGUGUUGACCAAUUCUGGGGCAUAGCGAGACAACUCAGUGAAUUGGAAGAUGUAUUCACUCAGGGUUUUAUUUCCUUGCUUCAAGUUGCGAAAUUCAUCAGCUUUCAGCUUCAUGAUCCCAUCUGGAAUGUGGUACCGGCGGAAUUCAUCCACAAAUUCUUCCCAUGUGAUAGUGUUUGCAUUGUCCACAGCUCCACUAUAGGCUUCCCACCAAGAAAGGGCAAUUCCUGUCAGCUGAUGAGAUGCUAGCAGAACUCUAUCCCUUCCAUCACAGUGGAUUGUGUCCAACUUUCUUUCAAUCACCUUAAGCCAAUCAUCUGCUUCCAUGGGGUUGUCAGAUCCAGUAAAGGUGGGUGGCUUAAGCCUCAUGAACUCAGUCAUCUUGUCUUGGACUCCGGCUCCACGGUUGUUCCUAGGGCGGUUCAUGCCUUGAGCCAAGGUCUCCAGAAGGCGAGUCUGAGUUGCCAUGACUUGUGCCAAGUCAAUUACUGGAGGAGGGGGCAAGUCAUCUCCUUCAUUAUGGUUCCUAGUCUGACUCACUUCAUCUUCAUGAAUACCAUCCACAUUUGCAUUGGCUUGACUUCCAUUUGGAUUUUGGCUUUGUCUACUAGCUGCACGACCACUUGGUUGAGAGCGGGUAGCUGGUUUGGGAGGCAUCUGUUGGUUAAGAUGAGAAAGCAUUAGAUAAGGGUUACAUCUAUUGAGUGAUGUUGUUUUUUUGUUAAGGCGUUAUAUUUUAAAAAGGUGCAAGUCUUAAGACUUGCUAUCCCGUAAGGGAACAACAUAGAGCACUCAAUUAUUUAGCACAACCAACAAGCACAAAUAUAUAUUUUGAAUAAGAGGGCGGUUUACAACAUAGUAAUGGAGGAAAUAAGCGUACUACAAUACGGUUCAUCUACUUUGGGGGUUGAACAAAAGUGAAGUAAACUUCACUUCCCUAAGACAUAAGGAGGAACUAGGUGCUACUAUUCUUCAACUUCUUCGGACAGAACGGCUUCAUUCCCUUGGUGUUGAGGAGGAUCACGCUUCCGGCAUUUGUGGUUCUUCUUUUGGACUAAGAGGUGGGUCACUGUCUUCUUUUGGUGCUGGCUGGGUGAGAAGGGGAAAUCCUUCUUCCUUAGUGGACUCCAACUCUAAAGCUUCAUGAGAGGCUUCUGUGGGUGGGAAAGCUGAUGGCCCUUCUAUGUCCAUCUUUCUUUUGGUUUUUAGGGACAUGAUUGGGAUACCUUUUAGGACUAUGGGCUCUUGGUCUUCCACUGCUAACAUCCUUCUUUUGAUCCUGGUGAUAAGGUAGGCAUCCUUCAACUCCUGAGCAUGGUGGUCUUCAGCUGUCUUCAAGACUUUAGCAAUGGCAGUUUCACGACUCUCGGCUGCAGCUGCUUGGGCCUGAGCUUCCGCGAGCUGCACAUGGAGCUUUCUAACUAUGAUCUCGGCUUCCUCCGCACGAUGGAUGCACUUGCUUAACUCUGAGGCCUGCUCAUCAUAUUGCUUAUCUAGAGCAAGUAGGUAUGUGGUCAUGAAUACCACAGUUGGGUCAUCUUCAAGUGAGUAACGUCCUUGCAAGAGCUCCAUGCGGGUUCUCCAAACUGGUCGGUCUUUUUCGUCAGGUGGAAAGAACCUCAUGGGUGUACGUGUGAUGGGCUUCUCGUAGAUCUGGCAUAGGUACCUCAAGAAUUUGCGGGCGACGGCUUGAUAUGUAUCUGCAAACCGAAAUCCGGUCGCAGUCAUGCUCCAAGCUUCAGCUAUAUUAGGGAAGUCCUCACUUUUCCCAAUAUAGACGGUAACUUCACACCGCUCAGUCUCAUGCUCUUCAUAUUCUCUGCCUUCAUAUUCUAUCCUUGAUUCCAAGUUUCUGCAUGGUAGCAUACAAGAGCUUAGGAAAGCCUUCUACACUUAGACAGUGACUGCUGGUCCAAACUCCUUCUGCCAUCUGAGAGACAUAGAUGAGAGUAAAUAUUUUUUUCAAAUAGAGGGAAGAGGGUAAGAACUUUUGUAAAAUACGUUUAUUUAGUAAAAUACUGGUCCAGAAAAGCCUAAGGUCACGUCCUACAGCCAGCUACGGCUCUGAUACCACCUGAAGCGCCCCUGGUAAACCAGGAACUCAAAUGUGAUACAAUACUAGUCCCAGGAGGCUAGUAACACAUUUAUUACAUCAGAUAAGUUUCAGCGCAGUAGUCUUGGAAAGCGUGGACAAGGAAGGCACGCUAUAAUAAUAAGACACCAAAAUACAACACAGGUCCAAAGGACCCAGAAACAAACGAUAUCGCCAUCGAACAUCUGACGAGUCCCAAUGCCACAGGCUUAGUUGGGUGCAGACACGACCUUACUCGAACGCCACUUCGGGAUCGAAGUCCGGAUCUUCCUCUGUUUAAUAAAGCAAGGGUGAGUACAAAGUACUCAGCAAAUCCAACCUUACCCUACGGAAGGGGAUAACAGUAUAUAUGCAUAUGGAUAAAUCAAGGAUGAGGCUUAGUUUUAUUUGCAUAAAGCUAUCUUUUUACACAUGCAAGGUUUCAUUUCACAAAUACUGUUGUAAAAGACCUCUUUUUCCACAUAUGAUAGUAUUUCUGAAAAUGGGGGUUUGAUCACAAUUUUAAGUGUUGUUGAACCCUUGUUCCCACAACACAAUGGCAGUCAACCAUUUAUUUCCAAAAUCACACUCACUCUCAUAUUUUCACUCAUCCCAUCCCAUCUAGUUGUUGAAACCAAACCAUAACCCGUCCGAGACCGCGGACACGGCUAUCCAGAUAGAUUUACACUCUGCAGAGGUUGUACACUUUUCCCACAAGUAGGAUACCAUAACUUACACCGUCGUGCAAGCACAGAUCCAUCAAAGUCAUUACCCUCCAUAGCUAAGUAAUGGCGCUCACCACGGGAACACUAUGGCCACAUCUCAUGAUACCAUAAUAAUUCACAAAGCUCUUUUCAUAUAUUUCCACAAUUUCACAUACAUCACUUAGUGUCCCGUUGCACACCUGCCUCCAGGUGAUUGCCAUACUAACUAGAGGGAUUUAGACUAAGCCUUACCCAUGCAAGGCGAGUGGUUGUACGAUAAAUGAGUUAGGCAAGAUGAAUCAUCAACUCAGUCCUUAAUCGAGACAAGGCGGACAUCCCCAAAAGAGAUCCCAUCCGCCCCAUCUCCAUAGUAAUCACAUCUAUAACUUGUUCAUUAACCCUUUCACAAUACCCACAAUUUAUUUUCACCACUCACACCUUUUACUUUUAAAAUCAUUAUAUUUGAUAAAAUACAACGAUGAGUAUCCAGAAUGAGUAACAAGUCCUAAGCAUACUAAAUAAUAAUAUUUCUGUCAUAGCAUAUUAUUUUGUUCCUAGGUUCGAACAAGAUAAUUACCGGGUAAUAUCAAUUCAAGAAUGGCUAUUCAACAGGUUUUAACUAAGCAGCGAAAAUACUUCGUACAUAUAUCGUACAUGCAAUAUUUAAAACGGCUUCUACGGGUUGUGUUUAAAAAUAGGAUCAAUAUGCAUCAAAGGGGAUCGGUUGGACUUGCCUCCGUCGGCGUCCUCGGCAAACUCCUGCUGACAGUCCGGGUCCUCGGCGUCAAACUCGCGGUACUCGUCUCCAACGUUCUCGUUUUCCGGCUCGUUCACUCCGUCAACUAAAAUACGCGACGAACGACACAGACAAUAGGCACAGAUAAAUAAUCAUAUAAAUUCAAAUGAGCUCCAAAAAUUAUGAAAUUAAUAUGGGAGGUAGAUCAUGAUUUUAGAUGAAUUUAGGAAAAAGAAUUAUUAAAAUCAGAGUUAGCAUGUGGCAUUUGUGAAAUGGCCGGAAUUUAAUCAUGCGAAAAAGGCUAACGAUGAUUAAGGAAUGGAUGCUUCACGUGGGCAUUUGUUUGGCUGGUAGUGCAUGUUGCAUGCAUGCAUGUACUAUUUGGAGUUAAUGCUUGGCCCACACAUGCAUGGUUAGAGACAAAUUAGCAGGGGUCAUUAGAACUCUUCUGUAUGUCAUGGUUCUAUUCGUGGAGUUCUUGACAGUGAACCGGUACAGACAAAUACAUGGAAAAAUACAGAAAAAUACUACAGAAAGACAGAGAAGAGCAAGGAGAUGCUCAUGAGCUGCUCACCUCGUCUUGCGACGACAGUCGAGCUCGGCUUCUGCGUAUGGCCGUAUACGGUAUACGCGAAGUGAGAGCGAGUGAGCGAGUGAGUGAACGUGUUUCUCGGGUGGUGAGAGUGAGCACCCGAGGCUGGCUUUUUAUAGGCCAAAGCGCUCAGCUGCGUGCCAUUAAAAAUGCUACUGUAGCGCAUGGUCGGUGCCUAAUUUCAUACGAAGGACGAUGUCCCAUUUGCAUGCACGUUGCAUGCAAAUGGACGGUGCCUAAUCACCGUGUCCUUGCAUGCAGGUGCAUGCAAAUGGUCGGUGGCAUGUCCUGCAUGCAUGCAUGAGAUAUAUAUUCGUGUAGGUGCACUGCUAUGUUUUCUCGCAUGUAAGCUUGCUGGUACUUGCUAUUAUUUGUGCGCGAAAAAUAUGGAUGGAGAUACUAUAGAGCUCAAAUUAUUUUAUAGUUUUUGAAAUAUAUUUUGAAAAUAAUUUUUAAUGCGAGUGAUUUUCGAAUGUGAAUUUUUGGGAUGUUACAGUAACUUUGUAGACUUUGGUGUCAUCUGAUCCUCAUACACAAUUCUUAAUCCAUGAGUAUCAGUAAUAACAUAAACCUCCAUUUGUAUUAGCACACUCCAAAUGGAAUGAUAUCUUGAAACAAACCAACAUACCAAGCACUUGAUGUCCUUGUAGAUGUUCUUGUCAUUAACCACUUCUUCUCUUGUAACUUCUUUAUUUAAGCUACCCCCUUCAAAGGGUCAACUAGGGGACACAAGAAAGGUAGCUUGCACUUUUUCCAGACAAGUUGACUAGCACUGGGACCUUUUGAUAUCCCAAAGAACUUAUGUGCAAGAGAACAAACAGGUAUCCUGAAAUUUUCCUCGUAGUAUGAAAACACCGGCGUAGUAAAACAGGUAUAACUCCUAUUCUGUUAAUCAAAUAGAGUUGUAGCUUAUACCGUUAGAAAACUUAUGAAAUUCCCUACAACUAUCAUAUAGAAAACCUCCUUAGGUUCUGUCUUUAAACUUAGGUAAAACAGCCAAACUUAAUAUCCAUCCUGAAAAUGUCUCAGCAAAGGUGCAGUAGAUUCCAAAAAUUAUAUCUCGAGCUACUUAACACAUCUGGAGAUGAUCCUUACAUUUUUGAAAAUAUUAGGAAAUCCUCUACAACUUUAGUAUACCACGUUUUUCCAGAUUCUAUCUUUAACUUGGCUGUAAAUAGGAAAUGCCAGAUCUAUCCAGAUUUUGAAACCGAACAGCAACAUCCAAGUUUAAAUGUCAUAUCUCAGGUUCUGCUUAUCCAAAUGAGUUCCAGCUUAUACUGUUGGAAAGCUUAUAAAAUUGUCUACAACUUUGCUAUAGGACACUUUUCCAAAUUAUAUAGUUAUAUUUGUCUCAAACAGUAAGCAACCAAAACUGGUCCAGAUUCUUGACAGCACAGUUGUAUCAUAUUGUGAUUUUUGUAACUUCCAAACCAUAACAGCUAUGAGGGUGAAUCUUGCGGUCAGGAAAAUAUCUUGAAGUCUAGUUGUUCCCAGAAAAAUUUGGUAAACUUUGCACGAUCAAAACUUGAGAUACUCCCAAAUCAUUGCAGACUGCUACAGAAAUCAGCAAGGGACAGAAACAAGAGAUAGCCAAACCCAACUACUUAUUCCACUAAUCCUUAUGCCUUAAGCCUAUGAACUAAUGAAAUUGUGAGGAAAUCCACAAGAUCAUUGCAAUCAGUACAAAGAUCCAAAUCAAGAAUGAACAUAAUAACAAACCAAUUAAGCAUUGAAGGUUCACACUUCACUCAACUUGCGAUACUAUCGUUCUCUUCAUAGAAAGGGCAAAGAUCCUAAAAUUCUCUUUCAACUACGUAAGCAGGUGGUAAGAGAAGAUUCUAAAAGCUUAUCAAAUCAAGGAGUAAAGAUGAGAACAAGUACUUUUAAAAUAAGCAACAAGGUAAAGAUGAAUAGCAAUGGAAAAGAUAUAGAAUAGAGAAAAAUAUCAAGGUUUAUAGAACAAGGAUUGUAUAACAAUUUAAAAACCUUAAGACGACCAAUUUCUAACUAGGCUUGCGUCCUACAGUCAGCAUUGCUUUGAUACCACUUUGUAAUACCCGAUUUUAAGGACAAAACCAGAUAUGCACCAUAUGUGAGUUUUAGAAGUCAAAUCUCACAUAUAGCUACAAAUAAUGGGUAAUAUCAAGAGACAAUGCAUAAAUAUAUAACAUACUUAGUAUAAAAGAGAUAACCUUCAGUAUCAAACAGUGGAUAGACAAUCUCCAAACUUCGGGUAUUACUUCUCUCCACAGGAUCCAACUGACUGGUUGAUCACAAGCCUAACAUCUCCUGAAGUGUGGGGGAAAUUGCAAGAGUGAGCAAAUAUCGUACUCAACAAGUAUAACCAGGGGUUCAUGAGGCUCAAAUAGCUGACACUGGUUUGACUGCAUUUAGCUUUUAUAUGUAGAUAACAUAUUUAAUCAUUGGAUAGCAAAUAUCAAGGUAGCAUAUUAAAUCCCAUAACCACAUGAUCAAUUGUAUACAGGAAUUAUGAAUAAUACAUAUAAACAACAUAAUAAAUCAUCAUUAUCAUUAUUAAUCAUGUUCAUCAGUGUUCAUCUAUUCCGUCAGUUUUCCGGGCUGCCCGUAUCCAUGGGCACGGCUAGUAUACCAGAUUUAAUACUCUGCAGAGGUUGUAGAUCUUUACCCAUGAGUCAUGAUUUACCCUUUCGCCCGAGGUGACCAGCCUCUUAGCUCACUUCCAAGGAAAGCCGACAGGGUUCACUAUGAAGUCUUUCAAAGGUUCGCCUAACAAGUUAGGGCCGCAAGGUUUCCUUUGCGCGCAGAUAUAGAUACCCCCCUUCCGAAUGGCACAAUGACGCGCAGCCUAUACACAUAAGGACAGGGGCUCGCACUAUACCCAAAACGGUUCAGCCCCUCCGCCCUUUUGGGUAACCUCUACCAAGCUAGAAAAGGUUACUCAUACUUGACUAAAGCCAGAGCCAUAUAGCCCUCAUGGUUGUACGAGUUGUCCCAGCUUUUGCCAAUGGAUAAGUCCUUAUGGAGGGUCAAGAUCAAUCCAGCAAAAGCCAGAGUUCUUUCCACCCUUUAUAUUCAAGUUGCUAGAAAGCUUAUUUUAUUGUUUAUUGUAUAUCCAAACAUUCAUGUUACAUGAUCAUGGAUUAGAUUCAAGCACUAGCAGGAACUACCAAAUGCAUAUCCAAAAUAGGUAACAAGGAAUCCAGGAUAACAAUCAUCUAUGAUUCUGCUAAGGUCAUCAAGGUGGACACAUGCAUAUGAUAAAUAUUGUAUUAAUGGUGUAUAGGUAACAAAGAUGAACCCACGUUAUACUUGCCUUGAUCAAAGCUCUCCUGAGCCUGCUGCUGGUCUUCAAAAGAUUGACCUCGAUCACCAACGUAUCGCUCACUGUCUAUACCCGAUCAUCAAUCAACAACACGCAUUCCAAUGGACAAUCAUACACGAAGCAAACAAGCUAUAAUUAGAACAAUAUACCAAAAAGUGGUAAAACAAAGAUAAAAGUUUAUGAAAAUAUUCUACGCAGCGCUACGAUCACACAAACGUAAUGUUCACGAAAAUCGGAAUUGAACGUAGAAGUUAUGAAUUUUCCAAGUUUUCCUAUAGAGAAAUAAUUAAUUAAAUGCUACUGCAGAAUUAAAAAGUUUCAAAACAGCAAACUAAUACUUCUAACGUGUAGAGCUCGUGAAUACGAAUCUAACGAAAUUUGAAUGGACAAAAUCGGAGCUAAAAAGAGCAUUUUAUGAGCAUUAUAAAAUCAGUGGCAAACUUGUAAAUAUCAGAAAAUGUAUUUUGAAUCAACCGACAGACUUUACGUUUUCAAAAACAGAAUAUGCCUUUCGUGAAUGUGCCUUGGACUGCGGGUUCUAAUACGAGAUUCCAGAGGGUCUCUUUAAGAAAACGGCCGGGCGAAGGGGUAUCCUUCUUUUUCGGCCGUAGGAUCGCGAUGGAACGGUGCAGAUCAGAUCUGGGGAGAGAGGGAGGGAGCUCCGGCCAGCUACAGUGGCCAGCGCGGUGGCGCCAUUGCCGGAGGGCAGAACUCCUCGCCGGAGUUCGUCGUUUUCACGAUUCAGUGCACGAUUCAACAAACGAAAAGAAUGGGAAGGCGUAGAAGCUUGCUGCGAACUCACCAGACCAAAAUCAAGGCUCGGGAAAAGCUUGAAGGCGUCCGACGGCUUGAGAUGGCGGACCGGGCACUCCUGCAAGGUACGGCAUCGAUGAGGGAGCUGUAGGGCGCGAUAGAGAUAAAAGGGGAGGCUCAGAACCCUUGUAGGAGCAAUACGAAGCUCGGCGUCACGAUUUAGGCGGCUCUGGGGCAGCACCGAGGAAGAACGAUGGCGACGGCAAUCUUUGGCUUGCGGCGAGAUCCAACCAGCGGCGAUAGAAGUUAUCUAGGGAUUCCCCAAUGUUGUGGAUGGAAAGAGGAGUGCGCGGGGAGACCACAAAACUUUAUAGGGCUUGAUUUGGGAAUCCCAGCACCAAAUCCCGGAUUUACCGGAUGGGUUUCCAUCUCGGUGAGAGAAGGAGAGACCGUCUCGGCCACGACCUGAGGAAGAAGAAAGGUAAGUCGCCGACGUGUGGGCUCCAGAUGGCAGCGAGAGAAAGAAAGGGAGAAAGGGGAGGGGCGCGCUGCUGGGCCGGAGAAAGAAGUGGGCCGGGGCGGUUAGCUGGGUCGCGGGGGAGGAACGGGGGCUGGGCCGAUGGGGAGUUGGGCUGGGCGCUGGAUGAGGUCUUUUCCCGUUUCUUUUUUUUUCUAUUUUAAUUUUCAAAGCCUUUUCCAAAUAGAAUUUUUAGAGCAACCAAAAUCCACCCCAAAGCAAUCAAAACAACAAUAAGAUAUGCUUCAGCAUGUAUGCAUAAACAAGUUUCUAACUCUAUGUUGAAUUUUAAAUUUCAAUAAAAUUUAUUUCUUCACUAAUUUAAAUGCUCACAGAAAUAUUUGAAUAAAUCAAUUUAAAUCCUAUUAAUUUGAAAGCAAAUUUUGGGUGUUACGCAAAUUGGGAGCUUCAGAUAAGUUUGUAAUCAUGAGUCAACAUUCAAGAAAUUUCACUUAAGAUAAGCAAUUGGGAGCUAGCAAGACUCGACUAAUGUAUUGGAGUAACCUGGUAGCUACCAACAUUCAGGAAAUUUCGGAGUCUGACAAAUUGAGAUGGAUGAACAUGCAGUAACCGGGUAGCUAACAGUUAGAAACUGGUAGCUUUUUAUCCAUUGAACAAAUUAAUAAUUCAGAUUAUUUGUUGUGUCCAAACUGAGAGCAAAAGGAGGUGGUGUUUGGUUGGGAAGAGACUGAAAGUGUCAUUGAAAGGGUGAACUACGCCCUUCCUUUCAGAAGAAAGAACAGAACAUAAAUAUUCAUCCAUAACAUGGCGUCCUUUAAUUAGUACGCUUUUAGCAACAGGGAAAGACACAUGAAAGCUCAUAUCUUGGUUUUGAAGAUAAUUUAUCACCGAUGUUGAUGCAAACUUGCAGACAUCCUCAAUAGCAACAAGCAAUACCAUAGAAACUAAAAAUGUUUUCCUCACUUGAACAAUUCCUUGGGCAAUGAGGCUGCUGCAGUGCUGCUGACUGGUGAGCUACCUAUUGGCCGUCUAAUGCUGAAUGGCAUGUUGCCUGCUGCUGUUAUCCGAUUGAUUCUGGUACAUCAUCACCGAGGCAGACCGGAAGCCAGUGGCGGAGGGAACGGGGCCCUGAGGGGGCCUGGCACCCCCAAACCUUCCCAUAACUCCUUUAAUACACCCCAUAGAUUAGAUGUUUAAUUGUCUAAUUAACUAGUUAAUGAUGUUAUCUGUACUAAAAUUUUUAUUCUUAUUUCAUAUUAAUCUCUAAUAGUUUUUUAUACAAAUAAAAUCUAGAUCUUUCUAAUAUUUUCUUCAUAUCUUUUAUUUUUAUUAUUACCUAUCAGACGGAGACGGGCGGGUGAAUAGUCAGUGGGCCUUCCCUGAUAUUAAAAUCUUUAUUUUUCCUAUUUUUAAAAACUGAUUUCGUAUUUUCCAGAAAAAGAUUUCUACAGGUGGUUGGCAUAACUGAACCACCUGUAGAAAUGCAUUUCCACAGGCGGUUCUCAAUUACUCGCCUGUGAAAAAAUUUAUUUCCACAGGCCACCAAACAUAGACGGUUCGCCAAACCGCCUGUAAAAAGGGAUUACGAACCGCCCCUCUGUGUACUAGUGACAAUUAAGCAUGGGGCAGUUGUGGCGCAGUCCUGUUAUUUUUCUUGAUCGAUCCAAAAAAAAAGGUCACUACAAGAUGCAGCAGGAAGUUAAUGAAGUGCGGAUAUCAUAUACGAAAAAGUCAGAGAUCAUGUGAAUAUAAUAGAAAAAUAACAUUUGUUAAUCUUGUGGCAACAGCAGGCUGCAGGCUUAUGGUCGAUAAUUUAUAUAACGCUGGACCGGUUCCAUGCUAGGAACGUCCCUAACCGAACGGGCUUUUACCAGUUCGUCUCCAUCUUGCUAUAUGUGGAAGCAUUCCACUCAAUUAAUUCAUGUAUGUUAGCUCCCGAAAAAAUGCUGACCAAGUUAACAAUGGGAACAUGAAUCUGCUAUGACUCAAGUGGUCACAAUGACUACAUGGAGAUCGUUAGAUAUUUAUAUAAUCAAGGUGCCAAGUAAAGAUAGAGGCUUUCACACUGUCGACUCUUUCUAUCUUUUGUUAGCGAGGAGUUGAUCCUUUCUAAUUUCUAUAGGUAUGUGAGCACAAGCAUGAAUGUGGACUAUUUGAAUCAUUUUUUAGAUUUUUUUCUAAAGGAUAAUUAGCAUGACCCUUCCUCCCAAAAACACAAAAGAAAAGAAGGAACACGUGCCAAAGAGAUCACAUAAUAUUUGUUUACUGGAAUGAGUGUGAAAUGAAAAUACUAAAAGCAAGGUAGGUUUGAAAAGGUUGGUAUAGUAAAAAGAUAAUUGUGUUGUUUCAUGUGCAGGUUCUACGAGCCGGAGACUGUUUCUUCUGUUGGUAGGUUGAACUUGGAAGUUUUCAGUCAUUAACACGUUCACGUCACCACACUUGCCGCUGUGGCAAGCCUAUAUAAAUGCACUAUCCCCAUGCCCAAAGCAUCAACAGAGACACAAACUCAACCAGAAGCUCGCUAUAGCUGAGUUCGGAGACAACAAGAUGGCUCCAGCCACCUACUUUCUCCUCGUUUCUUUUCUAGCAUUGGUCACUUCUCAGGCCAUUGCUUCUGACCCAAGCCCGCUCCAGGACUUCUGUGUUGCCGACAUACACUCUCCAGGUAUCCAUGCACUAACAUUAAAUAAUGCACUAUGUCUUGUUGUACUAAAUCACAUAUCAAAUUGGAAUUAUUUGUCAGAACAGAAACUAGAGUUUUAUGUAUGUCCUAAUUAUAAUGAUUUCUGAUCGUUAUGUACCUAUUUUUCUGUCUUUGUAUAUGCAGUGAAGGUGAAUGGAUUUGUCUGCAAGGACCCCAUGGCUGUGAAUGCAGAUGACUUUUUCAAGGCAGCAAACCUUGACAAACCUAGGGACACAAUGAAAAGCAAGGUUGGAUCCAAUGUCACUUUGAUCAAUGUCAUGCAGUUGCCUGGACUCAACACCCUAGGUAUCUCGUUGGCUCGCAUUGACUAUGCACCAUUAGGUCAGAAUCCGCCACACACCCACCCACGUGCCACGGAGAUUCUCACCGUGCUUGAGGGUACACUCUAUGUUGGAUUUGUCACCUCCAACACAGACAAUGGCAACAAGCUAUUCACCAAGGUUCUCAAGAAGGGUGAUGUGUUUGUAUUCCCCCAAGGGCUCAUCCACUUCCAAUUCAAUCCUAAACAUGACAAGCCAGCAGUCGCAAUCGCGGCACUAAGUAGCCAGAACCCUGGGGCUAUAACUAUUGCCAACGCAGUCUUUGGAUCAAAGCCACCAAUCUCAGAUGAUGUCUUGGCCAAGGCAUUCCAGGUGCAAAAGGUGACAAUUGAUUGGCUUCAAGCUCAGUUCUGGGAGAACAACCACAACUAAAUAAAUCAUGUUCGGCCGUUGUAUGAGUUCUGCAAUAAUUUGUAUGGGAAUAUAGAACUUUUUUGCACUUUACUUACUACUGUAUGUUUUUAUUAUUUCUAUGCUACUAAUGAUAAUAAAAUAAAUGGUCAGUAUUUCUCUACUAUAAUUGUAAUUGUGUCCGUGUUGUGGCUCUGCCACCAUGACUUUAAUCAAAAAAUUAAUGUAAUUUAUAUGACUGCCGGUUAUAUGGGGUAUAUAUAGUGAGCAGCCAAAUGCUUGACCAGAUGCAGUACCAAGUUAAUGAAGUGUAGAUAUCAUGUUUGCAAGUGGACAGAUAAUCAAUUUAUAAUUUUACCACUGGGAAGGUAUAACUUUGCAUGAAUAUAUAGUAUUGAUAACUAAAGUUUACAUAUGAGAGAUUUAAUCAAUAUCAUACACUCACAUGAUAAAGAUAUAUAUACUCCCUUUCUAUAUGAUUUAGUCAUUUUGGACAAGUUUGGGUCAAACAUUGAGAAUAUAAAUCAUCAAUAACUUUUAAAUGCUGAGUUUGCAAAUGUUUCAAUUAUAUGAAUAGAUUUGUCUUGAAAAAUACUUUCAUAAAAGUAUACAUAUAUCAUUUUUUCCUAGAUAUUUUUAUAAAAAUAAGAGGUCCAAGUUGUGUUUUGGAGACCGUGUCAUUGUCCUAAAUGACUUCUAAAUCUUAUACGACAGAGUAUAUAUAUAAAUGAUAAGUACAUAUUAAGCAUCAUAAUAGAUAAAUAAAUAAUUCAUUUAGAGCCCUCUAAUUAUAGCAAUAGCCAUAGUCCAAUUAGAAUAUCAGAAGAAUAGUUCCUAAGUUCAGGAGCAUUCUUGGCAAGGUUGUCGCUAUCAAUGUCGAAGCACACGCGGGAUGGAGAGUAGUAGUUGAUGUCGUUAAAGUCAUACUCUGAGCCAUUCCUUGAGAGGAUCAGAGAGCAUGGGCGGCGCCAGGGGUAUGCCCAUGUAUUCCAUGGAAUACCCAUGAUUUUUGUGACAAACACAAAUAUAUGUAUAUAUACACACACAUGUAUAAUCAGCAUAUAUGUUAGUUUAUUGAAUGUUGCAAAUAUGUAGCCCAUAAAAGAACUCCAAUAGUCUGGCUAAAAUUAAUUAUCAAAUUCUAUUGCUUAGCUAUUUUGUCCAAUAGAAAAUUUCUAAAAAAUGAAGAGAUCUACAACAUUCUUGUUACUUUACAAAGUCUUACAGUUAGCGUCUGUAAGAAGCUAUAUAUAGCCACCGAAAAUCAAGGGAAAGCCAACUUUCUAUUUUACAAAAUUAGAUAGCAUAUUAGUUGGAGUCUAUUUUGCUAUACAAAUUCUAAAAUAGCAUAAACAAUAAGAAUAGUUAAACUCUUGAAGUUGCUCUAAGCCUAGUAGAACAACUAGUAGCGGCUGCCCAUGAACUCAUCAGAAAGAAACCCCAUCGAUGGCAUUCCUCUGGCGGCGGCGGUGGUCAGUGGUCUUUGUAGGCUUUCUCAUAUAUGGCUCCCCUCAACGCCUUUCUCAUAUAUGGCUUGAAGCAACAACAAGGUGAACAUAAAGAUCCCACAUCUAUUUUUUUAUUCUUCAAAGUAACAAUUGAAGGUUUCGUUUUCUUCUUUUUUUGUUGCGUUUUGAUUUUUUUAAAGAAAUGUUGCAUUGUAUUCUUGUAACAUAGAUAAAGAAUUUAUAUAUACUUUGAUUAUUAUCAGGGGCGACACUAGGCUCACUUUGCCUGAUGUCUUGUUACUAGGAUAAACAAAUAUUUUACCUAGCAUAUAUUUUAAAAAAAAUUAUAUGUACUACUUGAGCUGCACCAGGAUCAAUUUUGUAUUGAUUUUGUCCCCUAUUACUAUUACACAUAUACAUAGAAAAUUUUUAUACGUGGAAUACCCAACUAUAAAAUCCUAGCUCCGCCACUGUUAGAGAGGAAGGUGUGUAGAGAGGGGGGAAUGGCCCUACUGUGCCGGAGAUUUGUCCCCUUUCUGUCAUGCCCCGUGCAUGACCUUGUCGGAAGCAUGGAGGACAGCACUGCAUCCAUCAGACAACACUGCAGCCCCAGAGCCUUGGGUGCUCGGGGCGCUAGGUUCUGUUGAAUAUAAUGGGCCUUUAGCCCAUAAUUAUAUUUAAUGAUUAAUUAAAGAGCCCAUAAUAAAUGCGAUAAUG
This 56353-nucleotide long non-coding RNA is filed under the name Sorghum bicolor (sorghum). RNAcentral's name for it is "long non-coding RNA (SBIC_LNC011717)". The record is from RNAcentral. Lineage: Eukaryota; Viridiplantae; Streptophyta; Magnoliopsida; Poales; Poaceae.